RNAcentral lists this long non-coding RNA (63442 nucleotides) under Podarcis lilfordi (Lilford's wall lizard). The stretch from base 55572 to 55622 matches the Rfam family "tRNA", at positions 8 to 63 of the family's 71-position model. Lineage: Eukaryota; Metazoa; Chordata; Lepidosauria; Squamata; Lacertidae. The record is from RNAcentral.
AAGCGCCAGAAGGCCCUCGGAGCUGGACCUCAGUGUCCGGGAUGAACGAUGGGGGUGGAGACACUCCUUGGAGCGUCUGCAACAGCGCUUUCCCCACUAGCAAAUCUCAUCAAGUGUUGUUGCUGCGUUGGGGGUGAGAUGAGUUGGGGAGGCCCUGCAUACAGCCUGCUGGCUGGAGGCUACUCACUCCUGGCUUAAAGUGUGUCUUUGGGGUGCUUUGAAAUGCCCCGAGGAACAGAUCCACCAAAGCUUACUUCUAUACCAUAUUUUGCAAUGGCUAAAAUCUUUGUACCUUCAGACGAGCGAAACUGACAUGGGCCACAGAUACGCCAUGCAUUAAAGGUGUUAAGUUGUGGGUGAACAUAUCAGAUGACACAGCAAUUCUUCAAACAGCUCUCGUUUAUUCACAGGCCAGAACAGAACAGAACAGAACAGAACUGAAGGGUUCAGCCAGCCUGCUUAUAUAGAGCUCCACUACAUCGCAACAGUAACCACUUUCUGUAACUAUCCAAUCACUGAACGUCACUUUCAAUCCCUUAUUUGCAUAUGUGGACCUGAGUGAAAACUAUCUACAGUAUCCCCCUGCUGGCCCAGGGUGAAAACUUCAGUACAUAACAAAAGGUACACUCCCACCCCUUCAAAGAAUCCUGGGAACAGUAGUUUGCCCCCACGGCACUACAAUUCCGAGCACCCUUAACAAACAACAGUUCCCAUGAUUCUUUGAUGUGCUUUAAACGUGUGGUGUGUAUGUAGCUGUGGGCUCUCGGGCAAGACAAGGCAUCCCUUCUGGACCCACUGUCCUUCAUGUUACUGAAAUAUCAUCUCUGAAAUAUCAGAGGUGCCAUUUGAAGAAAUGCACAUCCUGAUCUCCCUUGGUUUUGCCACGGCGAGCCCCUGCCGGGGUAUCCGGUAUGCCCCAUGGAGAACCUCAAGGUCCAUAAAUAGCAACACCCUAGUGGUGCCGGGCCCUAAGGAAGUUAGAUUGGCUUCAACCAGAACCAGGGCCUUUUCAACUCUGGCUCCGGCCUGGUGGAACGCUCUGCCUCAUGAGACCAGGGCCCUGCAGGAUCUGAUUUCUUUCCGCAGGGCCUGUAAGACAGAGUUGUUCCGCCUGGCCUUUGGCUUGGAGCCAAUUUGAUUCCCUCCCUCUCUUUCUUUUUUCUUUUCCUUUCUCCUCCUGCGAUGAGGUUACAUUUUAAUAUUUUUAUGUUUCAAUAUUUUAAUGUUGUAUUUUAAUUUUGUUUUUGAGUUGUAAUCAUUCAACUUGUUUUUAUUAUUGCUUGUUAGCCGCCCUGAGCCCGGCCUUGGCUGGGGAGGGCGGGGUAUAAAUAAAAAUUAUUAUUAUUAUUAUUAUUAUUAUUAUUAUUAUUAUUAUUAUUAUCUGGAUUAACUGGGAAUAGUUAUGGCAGCAGAAACAGGCGGGCAUUUUUUGGUCAAGGGGUGACCUCUUUCGGAUUGUUAAGCAUUGGUUGUUCGUUCGCUGGAGCGGAGGCGAGGAGAAUGCCACAGCAACUCUCGCUAAAACCUUCCCGGAUCGAUCGGCUGUGUCUGGAUCUAAGAAGACGUGGCGGCGGCGUUCGCAGUGGUCCCUCGCCUCCCCUUGCUGCUCCUUUCCUCCUUAAUUGAAGUUUGUUUGAGCACAUCCUGAGAGCCCAAGCCAAAUAUUUAGUUGCUGCAAAUUGGCACUCCGGAUCAAUUACUAGCUGACUUGACAAGUGUCACUUUCCACCCUCCCUACGCCAUCCCUUUGGGCUCAGGAAUCAGCAUCUUGGCGCAUGUGGGUCCCUCCCCUUCGCAAGCCCAGAUCUGCUGCUCCCUCUGCAAGCACGUUUUUCAUCAGGCUCAGCAAUCUAUCACCUGAGCUAAGGCGAGAUUUUCAAUGAAGAAAAGUUCUUCUUUGCUAAUUCUCCCCGUGCAGGCCUGUGUCUGCCGGGAACUUUCCCCUCUCUCUCUCCCUGGACUUUGAAAGUUGGAGAAAAAUCGGCUGCGCCCUUGCGCAUUUAUCACUUCGGUUCGUCCGUGACUGCAAUGCAACAGGCCUGGAGUUAACGUAUUCUUUCUAAAACCGGCAGACAUUUGCAGAGAAAAGAGGUUUCCCACCCUUCUCGUCAUCUCAGAAUUACUGUACUUUGUCCUUGUUGUUGCAUAAAAGGUAAAGGGACCCCUGACCAUUAGGUCCAGUCGUGGCCGACUCUGGGGUUGCGGCGCUCAUCUUGCUUUAUUGGCCGAGGGAGCCAGCGUACAGCUUCCAGGUCAUGUGGCCAGUAUGACUAAGCCGCUUCUGGCGAACCAGAGCAGGGCACGGAAACGCCGUGUACCUUCCCGCCGGAGCGGUACCUAUUUAUCUACUUGCACUUUGACGUGCUUUCAAACUGCUAGGUUGGCAGGAGCAGGGACCGAGCAACGGGAGCUCACCCCAUCGCGGGGAUUCAAACCGCCAACCUUCUGAUCGGCAAGUCCUAGGCUCUAUGGUUUAACCCACAGCGCCACCCGCAUCCCAGGUCCCAAAAUAUGCUGCAGUCACAACUUUCCUCUGCACAGCAAUUUUGCUUCUCCCUGUCCCGGCUUUGAAAGCUGGCCUUCCUCCCAAUGUUGCCUUUGCUCAGAUUGAUGUGGCCUUCAGUAUAAAUGACCGGCAAUGAAGAUGUUCAGUUUUCCCAUGGUUUAAAGCAGGAAUAGGGACGUGAGUGGCGCUGUGGGUUAAACCACAGAGCCUAGGAUUUGCCGAUCAGAAGGUCAGCGGGUCGAAUCCCCAUGACGGGGUGAGCUCCCGUCCUUGGUCUCUGCUCCUGCCAACCUAGCCGUUCGAAAGCACGUCAAAGUGCAAGUAGAUAAAUAGGUACUGCUCCGGCGGGAAGGUAAACGGCGUUUCCCUGCGCUGCUCUUGUUCGCCAGAAGUGGCUUAGUCAUGCUGGCCACAUGACCCGGAAGCUGUACGCCGGCUCCCUCAGCCAAUAAAGCGAGAUGAGCACUGCAACCCCAGAGUCGGCCACGACUGGACCUAAUGGUCAGGGGUCCUUUUACCUUUUAAAGCAGGAAAGAGGAACCUGCAGCCCUGCAUAUGCUGUUGGACUCCAACUCCCAUCAUCCCCAGCAAGCAUAGCCAACGCCCAGGGAUGAUGGGAGUUCGAGUCCAGCAACAUCUGGUUCCCCAACUUUGGUUUAAAGUAGGGAUGAAGAACCAGUGGUCAUCCAGAUAUGGUUGGGGUUUAUUGGGCUUGUACGUUGCUUCCACAGAGAAGUCCCAAAGAGAGUUACAAUCAAAAUCGGGUCGCAAAAUGGCUCAGUGCGUCUGGCUACUAACCAGAAAGUUGGUGGUUCGAGCCCAACCAGGGAUGUCUGUGGACAGGAUUCCUGCAUUACACGGGACCAAUGAAGAAGAAGAAGAAGAGUUUGGAUUUGAUAUCCCGCUUUAUCACUACCCGAAGGAGUCUCAAAGCGGCUAACAUUCUCCUUUCCCUUCCUCCCCCACAACAAACACUCUGUGAGGUGAGUGGGGCUGAGACACUUCAGAGAAGUGUGACUAGCCCAAGGUCACCCAGCAGCUGCAUGUGGAGGAGCAGGGAAGCGAACCCGGUUCCCCAGAUUACGAGACUACCGCUCUUAACCACUACACCACACUGGCUCUCUCCAAACCGAGUGAAUGGGCAGUGAAAUGGCAAAGUGAUGCAUGUCAAGGCAAAAAAUAUAUUUCUUAAUUUCACAUAAACGUUUUUAUAUUUAAUCCAGGAUUUUCUCUUGCCAUGGAAAAUCUGUCAAGUAAAAAUAAUCUGUUAUACAAUUGCAGAUGCUGCUGGUGCGAAGCUCAUUAGCUCACUUUUUGGGUGGGCGGUUUGUCACACCCGUGGUGAUGUUUUGGGGUGGGGUGGCCCAUAUCACCACAGCUCUAUAUCCUGUUUACUCCUCGUCUGAGCACAACGUAGCUUCUUUGUUUCCAGCCACCCAAAAUAAUAUAAACACGUCUAUUUCUAUCCAUGUCGGAAUUCUGACAAUGCGGUUAAGAAGGUCUGUUCUCUCAAGAUCUCUAGACACUGGAGGGGAGAUUACCUCGGAGGUUACAAUCACAUUACAGUGGUACCUCGGGUUAAGUACUUAAUUCGUUCCAGUGGUCCGUUCUUAACCUGAAACUGUUCUUAACCUGAAGCAUCACUUUAGCUAAUGGGGCCUUCUGCUGCUGCCGCGCAGGCGGAGCAUGAUUUCUGUUCUCAUCCCAUAGCUGUCAACCUUCCCUUUUUUGCGGGAAAUUCCCUUAUUCCAGCGCCGUUUCUCACUGCUUCCCACUGCUAUCCUGGAUUGUUAGCUAUCCUAUAGACCAGGGGUCUGCAACCCGUGGCUCCGGAGCCGCAUGUGGCUCUUUUACACCUUUGCCGCGGCUCCGGGGCGGAUACUAGCGAGGGGAGGAGGCGCAUUGUGUGCCCCGACACUCCCCACUGUGGUGGGCGCUGUACUGUGGUGGGCGCUGUACGCACCGCCCCGACGUCACCUUCCCGCCCGCCCGCCCGCUACAUUGUAAGGGGCAUGUACGCUGGUCACUGCAUUGAAAGGGGGCAUGUACGCUGGUCACUGUUUUGAAGGGGAGUGAAGAACACACACACACACACAAAGGUAACUUGUUAAUUCAACGUUUAUUUCUAUGAGGAGGAGUAAUUCUGAGGGGUCAAACAAAGAAAUAAUAAAAAAGUGACAAAAAAGUUAUUUUUAUAAUGACGAGUUUUGCGGCUCCCAGUUUUUUUAUCUUCGGAAACGGGUCCAAGUGGCUCUUUUUGUCUUAAAGGUUGCAGACCCCUGCUAUAGACUGUCCCCGGGACAGGUGAGGCUGUUGAUCCCUUGUUUUCAAAUCUGAAAGUUGACAGAUAUGUCUCAUCCUGAAGUUCUUAACCCGAGGUACUAUUUCUGGGCUAGCGGAGUCUGUAACCUGAAGCGUCUGUAACCUCAAGAGCCUGUAACCCGAGGUACCACUGUACACAUGUACAUCUGCACUUUUUAAAAUCCAGAAUUAAUACAGGGGUCUUGUGCACGACCUCUUUAGCAGGAUUUUGACACGGCUAAAUAUCAGUCUUGUGCAAGAACUGUGCAUUCAUUAAAAUAAAAUAAAGCCCAAUACAAUACCAACUGGAAAUGGAUAUUGUUGUCACCACCACCAAAAGCAGAAACCUCAAUUUUGCUCAUUAUGAAACAUGAUAACUGGGAUCUGGUAAGCAUGGGUGGAUCAUAAAAUUGUAGCGUUGGAAGGGAUCCUGAGCAUCAUCUAGUCGAACCCCCUGCAACGCAGGAAUACACAGCUAUCUCAUACAGGGAUCGAACCUGCAACCUUGGUGUUAUCCGGACCAUGUUCUGAUCUGUCAAUUCUCCCAAUUUCUCAUUUUCCAGCUCCCCACAUUUCCACAUAUUCGGUUUUUUUUAAAGGUCCUCAAGAAAAUUUAUUAGCAUUUUCACACGAAUUUCUUUCUAAUAUACACAUUCUGUAUGGAAUGCUACCUAAUACACACAUUUCUGCAAAGCAAUUUUCCCCCAAUACAAUGCAUCCUAUUUUCACUAACGUGCCUUUGUAUCCAAACUUUACCCCAAUACCGAGAACUGCAUUGCAAAAUCGGGAGAAGUGUGAAUUUGGAAAGGAGGGCUGAGUUUCCAAAUUAGGUACACGCAAAUUUUAACUGCAAACUGAAGUGAAUCCUCAGGUGCUGGCAAUGUUUCCUCCUGCACAAAACCUAUGGAUUUUUUAAAUAAAUAAAAAACCCCUAAAAGUUCUCUGCAAGGGGAACAGCGAUUGAAAACACAGCCAGGACUGUGGAAGAAAGGUGUUAAGUUUACUGCAUGUAUGAUGUUAAAGGAAAAUGUUAUGAAAGUGAUGUAUACAUGGUACUUAACCCCAGUAAGUACGCAGGUGACGCUGUGGGUAAAACCUCAGUGCCUAGGGCUUGCCGAUCACAUGGUCGGCGGUUCGAAUCCCCGCGGCGGGGUGAGCGCCCGUCUUUCGGUCCCAGCUCCUGCCCACCUAGCAGUUCGAAAGCACCCCUAAGUGCAAGUAGAUAAAUAGGUACCGCUUUAUAGCGGGAAGGAAAACGGCGUUUCCGUGUGCUGCGCUGGUCUGGCUUGCCAGAGCAGCUUCGUCACGCUGGCCACGUGACCCGGAAGUGUCUCCGGACAGCGCUGGCCCCCGGCCUCUUAAGUGAGAUGGGCGCACAACCCUAGAGUCGGACACGACUGGCCCAUACGGGCAGGGGUACCUUUACCUUUACCUUUAACCCCUGUAAAACUAACAAAGAUCUACCACAAGAGUGACAAUUUGUGUUGGAAAUGUAAAGAAAAAGAAGGAACCUUUUAUCAUAUGUGGUGGACCUGUCCCAAGGUGAAAGACUUCUGGGAAAAGAUUUAUAAUGAAUUGAAAAAAAUGUUGAAACAUACAUUUAUUAAGAAACCAGAGCCCUUUCUUCUUGGAAUAAUAGGUUUGGAAUUGCCCAAGAAAGAUGUUAGAUUGUUUUUGUAUGCCACAACUGCAGCUAGAAUUUUGUUGGCCAAAAAUUGGAAAUUACAAGUACCAACAGUGGAAGAAUGGCAGAUGAAGAUGAUGGACUUUUGGGAGCUAGCCGAACAGACUGGAAGAGUCCGCGGCCAGGACGAGGAGGAGUACCAGGAGGAAUGGAUGAAAUUUAAAGACUAUUUAGCUAAAUAUGCUAAGAUAACUUGAAUAGAAAUACUUGCAAGUACCAGAUUGGCUUAGGAUUUAAAUAUGUGAAGUUAUAGAAUAAUAUAUCUAAAGUUAAAAUGAAAAGAAAGAAAGAUGUUAAUUGAUUAAGUAAAUUUUAUGAGAAAUUAGUUUUGGAAAACUGUUACAAUGAUAUACAUAGAAACUCAGCCAGGGGGAUUUGAGGAAGUCACUUAACAAUGUUAACAAAAGUGGAAUUAUUAUAGUUAGGAUUUUUGUUUGUUUGUUUGUUUAUGUUUGUCAUAAAUUUGGAAAAUCAAUAAAAAAAAAAAUGGGGGGGGGGGAAUGAAAACAUAGCCAAGAAACUUUCCAUGCAGGACCAACCACUAGCGACAAGAGGAAACAACAGAAUACCUAUGACUAAAAAAAGACUAAACCUAAGACUAAUCUAAGACUAAAAUCCAAAGUGUGUGGUUGGCCCUGAGCCAAUUGCACACGCAGAAAAAAAAUCAGCUUUCUGUGACCCAUCUUUGAGAUGAAGCUCCCACCCCGAAGGACCCCUUGUGAGUUAUUAAAGUGUUACAAAAGUUGGGUGCCGUCCGCACUGUCUGCCAAGCGACAGCAAGAUCCCAGGGGGGUUCGAGGCACUCACCCAGGGUCUGUGUUCCUUUGGAGUAUUGAGACACAGCAGAGACUGUCGUAGCUUUAAGAAAUAGGGUUUAUUCACCUAUUUACGCCUUUGGCCUGCAUGGAGGGAGUCCAGAUCUUGCAGGACGGUCAUUUCAAGAGGGGCUUGUCCUCCACAGCAAGUCCAAGGCAUCUUCCCCAGCCAGCAAGCAGCCAGCCUGCCAAAGAUGGAUCCCAUCUUCCUCCAUCUUCUUCCCAGAACACCUUGCUAAAAACUCUCUUUUCAUGUCGCUAGAAACACACAGCCCUUCGCCUUGGCAACAUCUGUCUCCCCAGGCCAAAGGAUUCCUCUCAGAAGACCCAUCGACCCCUUUUGUCAUGCUAACAGAUUGGCCAGCCAGGCUGGUUUCCAUAAGCCAGACCAGGAAUUCCUUGCCCGGCCCAGCUCUGCAGCUUGUACUUUCAUCCAUAUCCCAAUUAAUCAAAACCAUUUAUUAAUUUCUAGAAUUUAGGGGGGUGUCCUCCAGACCCUCCAAGUGUCCCUGUUUUCCAGGGACAGUCCCGGAUUUACAGGUUUAUGAUUUGAUCCUGGAAUGUCCAGCUUUUCCUUAGGAUGUCCCUAUUUUCAUUGGAGAAAUGUUGGAGGGUAUGGAGUUAUGCAACCACUGAGUAACUAGACAACCUUUUGAAGACAUCUGAAGGCAGCCUUGGAUAAGGAAGUUUUUAAAUGUUUAAUGUUUUAUUAUCUUUUUAUAUUAUGUCGGAAGCCGCCCAGAGUGGCUGGGGAGACCCAGUGAGAUAGGAGGUGUAUAAUUAUUAUUAUUAAAGAGGAUGUUGCUAUUUUCAUUGGAGAAAUGUUGGGUGGCAUGGAUGGUAUAGCCUAUAACAAUAGGCUAGGAAGCCGUGCUUUCAGAAUAUCCCCCCCCCCAACACAGAAUUGAUGUUUUAUACUUUUACCCAGUCCUUUUUUUCGGGGGUGGGGGGGGAUGCAGGGGUUCGUAUACUCCUAACCAUUUUGUGACUCUUUGUACUUUUGUCCAUUUACUGUAUUUAUUUCCCCCGAUUUUAACUAUAAAAUGGUGAUUUUCUUGAGUCAAAAUGAGAGUAUGGUACCCCUAAACUAUUUUUUUUAAGAAAAAAAGCUCGGCUUUUACCAUUUGGUAGCCAAAUAGAAAGCAAGACUUGUUUGUAGAAAGCAAGAUUCUAGUCCUUAUGAGUGCACCUUUCUCCACCCAGUUUUUCCUGAGCUUUCGCAUUUUCUGAGUCUGAGGGUUGAGGGAGAAAACACUGGCAUUCUCACCGGGGGAAGAGCAAAUGAUAUACAGUGGUACCUCAGGUUACAUACACUUCAGGUUACAUACGCUUCAGGUUACAGACUCCACUAACCCAGAAAUGGUGCUUCAGGUUAAGAACUUUGCUUCAGGAUGAGAACAGAAAUCGUGCUCUGGCGGCAGCAGGAGGCCCCAUUAGCUAAAGUGGUGCUUCAGGUUAAGAACAGUUUCAGGUUAAGAACGGACCUCCGGAACAAAUUAAGUGCUUAACCUGAGGUACCACUGUAUAAGGAAAGCCUUGUCGCCAAUGAACAGCAAUUUUUGUUCCGCGCAACCCACAUAAGUAGAAGUGCAGGGGGACCGACGACAAGAGGAGGCAGUUUUAGGCGGGAGGCGCAAUUAUUUUGUGAACUGAAGUGCGAUGCAGAAGAUUAAAGAGCAUCUCUGAAGCGAAUCAAUAAGAGAGAAAUCUAGGACAACGUAUAAGGGUCCUGCGCGGAAGCAACUUUGGUCCGUAAAAUAUCUUUCCUGCCCUUAUGUCCGUGUUUUGUUGCUGUGACCAGCUAAAAGGAAAAGGAGAAGGAGGAGAAAAAGAAAAAGACCUCUGUUCGCCUUUGUCCCUCUGUAUGGUUGCUGGGCAACAGGAGCCUAAAAGUGGUCUCAUAAUGGCUCCAAGAUGGCUCACCCCUUUUAAACCUUUGAGGCCAAGAGUCAGGAGCCCCCUGAGCCAUUCGUACUAAUACUAAAUGCUUUGGUGAGGACGCAGCCUCUCUUGACCCCCUUUGGGGGAUGGAAAACAAGGACACACAGCUUUUUUCCUGCCUCAGCCUGACUCUCCUGCUAGUGUGUACUUUCAGAAGCUUGGCUCUUGGCACUGAAAAAGAACCUGGACGGAUCAGGAAAAGCUUCCACCUAGUUCAGGAUCCAGUGCCACUGUAUUCUGCUCUGGUCAGCCCUCACCUGGAGUACUGUGUCCAGUUCUGGGCACCACAGUUCAAGAAGGACACUGACAAACUGGAACGUGUCCAGAGGAGGGCAACCAAAAUGGUCAAAGGCCUGGAAACGAUGCCUUAUGAGGAACGGCUAAGGGAGCUGGGCAUGUUUAGCCUGGAGAAGAGGAGGUUAAGGGGUGAUAUGAUAGCCAUGUUCAAAUAUAUAAAAGGAUGUCACAUAGAGGAGGGAGAAAGGUUGUUUUCUGCUGCUCCAGAGAAGCGGACACGGAGCAAUGGAUCCAAACUACAAGAAAGAAGAUUCCACCUAAACAUUAGGAAGAACUUCCUGACAGUAAGAGCUGUUCUACAGUGGAAUUUGCUGCCAAGGCGUGUGGUGGAGUCUCCUUCUUUGGAGGUCUUUAAGCAGAGGCUUGACAACCAUAUGUCAGGAGUGCUCUGAUGGUGUUUCCUGCUUGGCAGGGGGUUGGACUCGAUGGCCCUUGUGGUCUCUUCCAACUCUAUGAUUCUAUGAUUCUAAAAGAAGCCAGAUAAAUGAAUAUGGGAUUCAGGGGUGAACUGCAGGCCCGAGUCUCCCUAUUUCCUAGGGACAGUCCCAGGUUUACAGAAGCCGUCUGAGUUUCUUAUUUGAUCCCGGAGUGUUCCUCUUUUCCUUAGAGCAUCCCUGUUUUCAUUGUAGAAAUGCUGGAGGGUAUGGAAUAGGACAUCCCUACUUUUGUCAGAUAAAUGUUGGAAGGGAUAUCUCUUAUUUUCAUCAGGGAAAUGUUGGAGGGCAUGGAAUACUGCAGGGGUCAGCAAACUUUUUCAGCAAGGGGCUGGUCCACUGUCCCUAAGACCUUGUGGGGGGCAGAUUGUAUUUUUUGGGGGGGAGAUAUGAAUGAAUUCCGACGCGGGUGUCCCUGUGGGUUAAACCACAGAGUCUAGGGUUUGCCGAUCAGAAGAUCGGCAGUUCGAAUCCCCACGAUGGGGUGAGCUCCUGUUGCUCAGUCCCUACUCCUGCCAACCUAGCAGUCUGAAAGCACAUCAAAGUGCAAGUAGAUAAAUAGGUACCACUCCGGCGGGAAGAUAAAUGGCGUUUCCGUGCGCUGCUCUGGUUUGCCAGAAGCAGCUUAGUCAUGCUGGCCACAUGACUGUACGCCGGCUCCCUCGGCCAAUAAAGCGAGAUGAGCACCGCAACCCCAGAGUCGGCCAUGACUGGAACUAAUGGUCAGGGGUCCCUUUACCUUUACAAAUAACCCAGAGAUGCAUUUUAAAUAAAAGGACACAUUCUACUCAUGUAAAAACAUGCUGAUUCCUGGACCGUCCGCAGGCCGGAUUUAGAAGGCGAUUGGACCGGAUCCCGCCCCCGAGCCUUAGCUUGCCUCCCAUGGAAUAGGGUGUCCCUAUUUUCACUGGAUAAAUAUUGGAGGGUAUGGAACAGAUCCUGGCAUUUCCAUUGGAAAAUAGUUACUGGUAGCAGGACUCUCCUCUGUAGGCCUUUCACAUUUGAUCAUAGUAUCAGAGACUUGUAGAGUUGGAUGGGACCCCGAGGGUCAUCCAUCCAACCCCCUGCAAUGCAGAAAUCUCCGCUAAAUCAUCCACGACAGAUGGCCUGCUUAAAACCUCUGCUUAAAAACCUGCGAAGGAGAGUUCACAACCUCCCAACAGAGAGACUCUUCCCUAAAUUAUUGGGCAGUGGGACUGCCCUCCCACUACCCACCAGUGCCAAUGGGCCUGAUUCUGCUUCACAUGUGUAUUGCAGAUGGAGCCUUGGAGCAGAAUUGUGGUGAUGGGCUGAGAUCUGUCUCCCUUCCACAUCCCUGUAUAGAAGCAACUUCAGACACUUUCUUCUCUCAAUAUAUGCCUGCUUAAUCUUUCUUGGAGAGACAAAGGGCUCUCGGAACUGACAUUUCAAUAUCAUGUUUGUUUUGCACUGGGGUGGGUGAGAUGCUGCUCCAGGAAGGAUAUAUGGCUACAAUGCCAUAAUAAUAUUACUUGGGAAGAAGCUGGAGAUUUUGCUGCUCUCUCACAACAGCAACCCCCCCCCCCCAAUGAUUCAAAUCAACUUGUGUAACUUUAAUAUUGGCGCUUAUGGCACCUUCUGUGUGUAGAGGUUUAUUGUUAACGCUGAUCCUCAAAAUAGGUUUCGAUGCAAGAUGGUUAUUGGGUCGCUACCUUUGAUUGGCACAUAGGUAAACAUAAUAAAAGCUGCAAGCAAGGGCGGGGGGGGGAGAAAGAGUUUGCCAAGGUUGUGAUCAGCUAGAAAAAUGCAAGCUGUGCUGCUGAUAGAAGUAGUGCGACUCAUGCAACACGCUGGCGAUUAAUAUACACAGAACAAUACAGUGGUACCUCGGGUUAAGUACUUAAUUUGUUCCGGAGGUCCAUACUUAACCUGAAACUGUUCUUAACCUGAAGCACCACUUUAGCUAAUGGGGCCUCCUGCUGCUGCCGCGCCACCGGAGCAUGAUUUCUGUUCUCAUCCUGAAGCAAAGUUCUUAACCUGAAGCACUAUUACUGGGUUAGCGGAGUCUGUAACUUGAAGCAUAUGUAACCUGAAGCGUAUGUAACCCGAGGUACCACUGUAAUUAUACACACUUUAUCAACCUUCUGAGAAAAAUACAAAACAUUAAACAAAGCCACAAAGACUUGCGAACUACCCAGCCUAAAAUGAACUUAUAAUGUCUGGUUUCAAUAGAUUUUUCAAAUGCUUAACUCAGUCUUUUAGAUAAGUUCAUGAAGAGACCAACAAAAGGUAAGUUCGGUGAUAUUCACAAUACCGAGAGAUGCUAGUAGAGUUGUAAAGGUAAACUCAUUAGGUCCAGUCGUGAUCAACUCUGGGGUUGCGGUGCUCAUCUCGCUUUACUGGCCGAGGGAGCCAGUGUACAGCUUCCAGGUCAUGUGGCCAGCAUGACUAAGCCGCUUCUGGCGAACCAGAGCAGCACAUGGAAACGUCGUUUACCUUCCUGCCAGAGCGGUACCUAUUUAUCUACUUGCACUUUGAUGUGCUUUCGAACUGCUAGGUUGGCAGGAGCAGGGACCGAGCAACAGGAGCUCACCCUGUCGCGGGGAUUCGAACCGCCGACCUUCUGAUCGGCAAGUCCUAGGCUCAGUGGUUUAGACCACAGCGCCACCCGCGUCCCUAGUAGAGUUGUAGAUAGAUGUUAAUAAAGUUGUAGACAAUGAAGUUGUAGACGACAGGGUGCCGGCAUUUUGCACCUGUUUCACCCUGGCAGUCCAAAUAAUCAAAAGGCCGCUGUUUGCCCCUGAUGGGGCCAUUUAACUGGGGCUUGCAGGUAAAACACUCCCAAAAUAGUUUUCCGGGCUUCAUCAGUGGUCUAAUCUCAGAUUCUUGAUACGUGUAUUGAUAUUCAAUCUUAUAGAGAAUACUCUUUCUUGGCUUAAGCUUAAGAGACUGAUUUGCUUCUGAUCAGGGCCGUCUUAAGCAUAUCCAGCGCUGUGGUGCGAAGAUCCCUCUGGUGCCCCUCCCCCCGUUUCCCAGAGUUGUCAACCUUUUUAAGGGGGGGCCCCCAAAGUUGUUGACAUUUUUAAGAAAGGCUGCUCCCGCCCUCGCGCUACUGCCCCAUGCUGCUUGCGCACGGCCGGGCAUCGGCUCCCGCGGUGGGAUCAUGGUGUAGGGCUGGGAAGCCGGGCGCGAUGGGGGCGCACGGGAGGCAGGCAGGGGUCUCGUCCGGGCAGGGGCAGGCGAAGCGAGCUGGGUCAUCCCCGUCGCCACAGCAGAGAAGUGCGCUCACUCAGUCGCAGUCUCGCCGUCCUUGCUUGGGGAGGAAGCGGGGAGAGAGAGCGUGACUGUGAGGGGAUUGAGCAGGGGAAGGAAACGCGGUUCGUGUGAAGGAUUGCAGAGGUGGGGGGGCAGCGGGAGGAGGCAGGAUCCGUGCAAGGCGGUGGAGAAGCAGGGGAAGGACGGAGGGGCGCUGGGGGCAGCAGUUGCAGUGUGUGGCCUUGAGUGCGGGGAUCUUUCAACGUAGAAGAAGAGUUUCGAUUUGAUAUCCCGCUUUAUCACUACCCAAAGGAGUCUCAAAGCGGCUAACAUUCUCCUUUCCCUUCCUCCCCCACAACAAACACUCUGUGAGGUGAGUGACGCUGAGAGACUUCAGAGAAGUGUGACUAGCCCAAGGUCACUGAAAUAUACUCGGAGUCGAGUAUGGAUUUCAUGCUCUUUAUUCAGCUCAUAGUAGUGAGGAAUGGAAGUUCCCCCGAAAUGUCUGCUUUAUAUACAUUAUUUACACAAUGGGCCCCACGUGAUUGGCUAAUUCCGAGAUUCUCCUGUAGGCCAAUCAGGUUGCGGAUUCACUUCCACCUGGAGUUCGAUUGGGUGGGCUCCUGCGGACCAAUCAGACUGCUGCAAUUUGGAUCCUAUUCAACUCAGUACAUAACAGUCACCCAGCAGCUGCAUGUGGAGGAGCGGAGAUGCAAACCCUCUUCACCAGAUUACGAGUCUACCGCUCUUAACCACUACACCACACUGGUUCACUGGUAGAGUGGAUGGGGGGAGCAAUGGUAGAGUCACGUUUAUUAUGCGCAGAGCUUGGGAUGCAAGCACACACUACGCAACCGAGGAGGUGGUGUGUCAUGGAGCCAGCGGAGAGAGCUCCGGACUGUGGAAAAGCAUCCAGAACCUUCCCGCCUCUGACGGGCGCUGGAGGCGCGCAGGCACCAAGCCCCCGCUCCGCCUCGCUUACCUCCCCAUUCUCCCCUCCCCGGACUCUCCCCGGACUCUCCGCCUGGCGCCCUCCACUGCUUGGGGCCCUGGCUCGCCGCACCACUAUGCCCAAUGGUAAAGACGUCCCUGGUUGUGAUCCAGAGCACACGUCAACUGUGAAAGAAGCCAGUGUGUAGAAAAAGCCAGUGUGUUGUGAUGUCUGGGGCUGCAAACACACCCUAUACAGUGGUGCCUCGGGUUACAUAUGCUUCAGGUUACAUACGCUUCAGGUUACAGACUCCGCUAAGCCAGAAAUAGUGCUUCAGGUUAAGAACUUUGCUUCAGGAUGAGAACAGAAAUUGUGCGGCGGCAGCAGGAGGCCCCAUUAGCUAACGUGGUGCUUCAGGUUAAGAACAGUUUCAGGUUAAGUACAGACCUCCAGAACGAAUUAAGUACUUAACCAGAGGUACCACUGUAUCUAAAGCACCUCCCCUCUGUAGUUUGCUAAGGCAAUGGGAAUUGUAGCUUUGUGAGAGAUACGCUGCGGUUCUUUCGGAGAAGACUUGCGCUUUAAAUGUACAGUCGUACCUUGGUUUCCGAACAGCUUAGUUCGCGAACGUUUUGGCUCGCGGAUGCCGCAAACCCAGAAGGGACUGCUCCGGUUUGCAAACUAUUUUUGGAAGCCGAAUGUCUGAUGGGGCUUCUGAUUGGAUCAGAAGCCGUGCCUUGGUUUCCGAACGUUUUGGAAGUCGAAUGGACUUCCAGAAUGGAUUCCUUUCGACUUCCUAGGUACAACUGGACAGUGCAGAAGCAGCCCUGGGUCUCUGAAGCCUCUGCAAUGCAAGCAAAGAAUGAAUACUAUUUGGAAUCCCACUUUAACAUUUAAAGCAAUGUUUCCCUAACUGUCCUAGCAGUUUGAAAGCACGUCAAAGUGCAAGUAGAUAAAUAGGUACCACUCCGGCAGGAAGGUAAACGGCGUUUCCACGUGCUGCUCUGGUUUGCCGGAAGCAGCUUAGUCCUGCUGGCCACAUGACCCGGAAGCUGUACGCCGGCUCCCUUGGCCAAUAAAGCGAGAGGAACGCCGCAACCCCAGAGUCGGUCACGACUGGACCUAAUGGUCAGGGGUCCCUUUACCUUUACCUUCCCUAACUGUCAUUAUAGGGACUGAGGAGGGGGGAUUCAAUUCAGCUUGCAUUUAAAGCCAAAUUUAUCAAAUUCGUGCUUUCUGAAACAACGUGAGAGCCAAACAACAGCCGUCCUUCGAAGUUCCUGCUUAUCUGAAUCUUGCAUUGCAGUUUUCCAGCCAGCCAAUGUUUACAAAAAUGCACAUAUUAGGAUAUAAUGUGCAUAAAUAAUAUAUUGCUGAAGAAUAACAGGCAAAAAUGAGUCAGAUUGGGAGAAACUGCUUGCAAAAAAGUGUACGUUAGUUGAAACUGCGUAUAAAAUGCACCUAUUUGGAGAAAUUCGUGCUAAAAUAGUGAAUAAUUUUCAUGAGGUUUGUUUGUUUGUUUUGCAAAUUUCUGCAUAAAUGUGGAGAACUGAAUGUGGAGAACUGAUAUUGACAGAUCCUUCCUCCCUUGCUUCACAGUGAGAUUCAGGUCUCUUGCCAUUAGCUAAGGAAAACCAAGAUGCCUAGCUGCCUGUUCUAUUUAAGUGUGUUCUAAGAAAGUCAGUACUAGCACAGUAAAGGAGGCAGCUCAAGCUAUAAAUCCCAUUACACAAUUAUUUUCAUCAUUAUAUUGGUUUCUUGCUUAUUUGAUGAAGCGGCCUCAAGCCUACAAAAGCUUCUCCCAGAAUGUCAGGCGCUACCAGACUCUUGCAGCUUUCAUUUUUACUGCAACGGAGUUAAUGUGGCUGCUUGUCUGAACAUCUGGAUACUGGGAAGUUCACAGUGACUUUACACAUUCGAAUGGGAGAGAGGUGGAUGUGCAGAGUUUUAAAUGUGUGACUUAGAAGCUGAAGUCACUGCUGAGUGAAGGACCAUCAGCUGGAGACAGACAGACAAAUAAUAAGCAAAUACAGAUGAGAGCGAGUUUGAGGGAGGGAAGUUGUCAUCUGCUCUUUUUCCGGAAAAAGAGGUGCCAGAACUCACCAUGAAUGCCUAUGUUGUUCUCUUAGAAUGGCAAUAGAGCCCACCUGAGAGGUGUCGGAACAGAGUUCCGGCAAGUUCCGGCUGAAAAAAGCCCUAAUUUUAAACUAGACACCUACAAUGCAUUACAUACACUUUUGGAAAUUCAAAAUGUUCUCCUCAAAAUGUGACCAUAAAGACUUGCUGUUUUUAAUCUCCCCAUUACUAGGGGCACAUUUCGACUUUUGGAAUAAAUGACCCUUCACUCAAAUAACUUUUCCCAUAGCUGAUUUAAGGACAGGUCAAACUUUAAGCCACAUGUUGCUGUCUUACAUGGCUUUGGCCCCACAUACCUGAAGGAACAUCUCCACCUCCAUCAUUCAGUCUGGAGAUCCAACUCUGAGGGCUUUUUGGCAUUUCCCUUACUGCAAGAAGUGAGGUUACAGGGAACCAGGCAGAGGACCUUCUCUGUAGUGGCACCCGCCCUGUGGAACGCCCUCCCACCAUAUGUCAAGGAAAUAAACAGCUACAUGAUUUUUUUAUUUAUUUAUUUGUAUAUAAUUGUUAUUAAAUUUUCUGUUUUACAAUAUUAAGUACUCAUUUUUACAUCCGUAAGAUAUCAGUGACUUCCCUUCUUCUCUUUCCAUUGUUCAUUUUACAUAUCAUAAAUCCCUACAUAUUUUACAAAACCCAUACCAUUCAGUAUUCCGUUAUUGCAUCCAUCAAAACUUAUUUACACUGUUGAAUUUAUCUUAAUGCUGCCAGGGUUUUCAGCUGUACACAAUUAUUUCCCAUAUAUUCUAAAAACGUUUUCCAAUGUUCUCCAAACAUACGUUCUUCUUGUUCUCUUAUUCUGUAUGUUAGGUCUGCAAGCUGCACAUAUUCUGUCAACUUAAGUUGCCACUCUUCUUUGGUUGGGACCUCUCUCGUUCUCCAUUUUGGGGCUAACGAAACACGGGCCGCAGUAGUGGCAUAUAUAAAUAACCUUUUUUGACACCUGGGAAUUUCAGUCUGAAUUAUCCCCAACAGAAUGGGCAGCUACAUGACUUUUAGAAGACAUCUGAAGGCAGCCCUGUCCAGGGAAGUUUCUAAUGUUUGAUGUCUUGCUGUGUUUUAAUUUGCUGGAAGCCUCCCAAAGUGGCCGGGGCAUCCCAGUUAGAUGGGUAGCUUGUAAAUAAAUGAAUCGUUGUUGUUGUUGUUGUUACUACCACCACUACUACUACAACUCACAUCAUCCUUGGCUUUACUGGCUGGGGCUGAUGGGAGUUGGAGUCCAAUAGCAUAUGGAACAACUGAUUGGUUCAAAAUUGGGAAAGGAGUACGACAAGGCUGUAUAUUGUCUCCCUGCUUAUUUAACUUAUAUGCAGAAUUCAUCGUGCGAAAGGCUGGGCUGGAUGAAUCCCAAGCCGGAAUUAAGAUUGCCGGAAGAAAUAUCAACAACCUCAGAUAUGCAGAUGACACAACCUUGAUGGCAGAAAGUGAGGAGGAAUUAAAGAACCUUUUAAUGAGGGUGAAAGAAGAGAGCGCAAAAUAUGGUCUGAAGCUCAACAUCAAAAAAACGAAGAUCAUGGCCACUGGGCCCAUCACCUCCUGGCAAAUAGAAGGGGAAGAAAUGGAGGCAGUGAGAGAUUUUACUUUCUUGCGCUCCAUGAUCAUUGCAGAUAGUGACAGCAGUCACGAAAUUAAAAGACGCCUGCUUCUUGGGAGAAAAGCAAUGACAAACCUAGACAGCAUCUUAAAAAGCAGAGACAUCACCUUGCCAACAAAGGUCCAUAUAGUUAAAGCUAUGGUUUUCCCAGUAGUGAUGUAUGGAAGUGAGAGCUGGACCAUAAAGAAGGCUGAUCGCCGAAGAAUUGAUGCUUUUGAAUUACGGUGCUCUUGAGAGUCCUAUGGACUGCAAGAAGAUCAAACCUAUCCAUUCUGAAGGAAAUCAGCCCUGAGUGCUCACUGGAAGGACAGAUCGUGAAGCUGAGGCUCCAGUACUUUGGCCACCUCAUGAGAAGAGAAGACUCCCUAGAAAAGACCCUGAUGUUGGGAAAGAUGGAGGGCACAAGGAGAAGGGGACGACAGAGGACGAGAUGGUUGGAUAGUGUUCUCAGAGCUACCAGCAUGAGUUUGACCAAACUGCAGGAGGCAGUGGAAGACAGGAGUGCCUGGCAUGCUCUGGUCCAUGGGGUCACGAAUAGACACGACUAAAUGACUAAACAACAACAACAACAGGCACACAGACGACCGCAGGUUCUCCGUCCUCGGCUUAAGCAAAUGGAAGAGAAGUGAAUGAAUGACAACAAAGCCAUCAAUAUCUCCAGCCAGCUCCUCCUCCUCAUUGCAAAGGCAGGAUUGAAGGGGGCUUUGUCUUGGGGUACUGACGCCUGCCACUCACCCACCCACCAUUCUCCAUAGAGUCUUGACAGCUCCAUUAAUCAUACACAGAAGCUUUCUGCAUCAUUAGCACCACAAUAUACUCCCCCCCCUCAAAGCUGGCUCGUUGUCAGAGCUUAGGACCAGCAUAACACAGCUGCCUCCUCCCUUCUCUCUCAUUACGAUCUCUACAACCCACUGUGGGUGUCCCCCUUCGCGACACCAAUUGUGUCAGGUUCAUUCAGCGAAGACACGGUGAGAGAAUCACCUCCCGCUUAGGGAUUUCCCUUCCGCCGCAUAGAUUUCCGAAAUCCGAACCUGAACUCCUUCUGGAGGCACUGUUAAGACCACAAUGUUUGGUUCAGCCUUUCAAGAUUAGGACCAGGGCAGAGACAGGUGGAGGUGUUUAAUGGAGUUGGAUUUGAAUUGGUUCAGAGCCUGCUCUACACCUUGGCGUCCCCCAAACAUUGUGGCACCUCAGGCGGACCUGAAAAUGGCGUCUCCAUCCCUGCCAAGGAAGAAGUGGUAAGGGAAGAUCUGCUGCCCCCGUGAAUCUUGCUGCCUGAGGCAGAUGCCCGGCCCUAACCUUUGGGAUGGGUUCUAAUAAUAAUAAUAAUAAUAAUAAUAAUAAUAAUAAUAAAUUUUUAUUUGUAUCCCACCCUACCUGACCAAAGCCGGGCUCUAUGCAGAUUGUACCGACAACAAAGUGUUGCCGUGUCAGGAUUCUAACCAGACAGCCAUACUUUCUUUCAAAAUGACCCAUUCCACCACCCCAGUCAUCAUUCUUAGUACUAUUACUAUUUUAUUCAUUGCAUUUGCAUGCCAACAUUUUCUCCAAAGAGCUCAAAGUGGCGCACAUGGCUCUCCCCCUCCUCGCUUAAUUCCUGCAACAACCCUGUGAGGUAGGAUAGGCUGAGAGGCGUUGACUUUCCCAACGUCACCCAGUGAGCUUCAUGGCUGAGUGGGAAUUUGAACCUUGGUCUCCCAGGUCCUGUCCUGACACUCUAACCACUACACCACACUGACUCUCUUGCCAACAGUUAGUCAGCAUUCUGUCUUCAAGGAGCCUGCACAGUUCUCAUUUUUACUACAGUGGUACCUCAGGUUACAGACACUUCAGGUUACAGACUCUGCUAACCCAGAAAUAGUAUCUCGGGUGAAGAACUUUGCUUCAGGAUGAUAACAGAAAUUGUGCGGCGGUGGCACAGCAGCAGCAGGAGGCCCCAUUGGCUAAAGUGGUACCUCAGGUUAAGAACAGUUUCAGGUUAAGAACAGCCCUCCAGAACGAAUAAAGUUCUUAACCUGAAAGGGUUUUGUUCUCCAUUUGGCUGCACCAGGCAGCUCUUGUUCUAACUGCCUGAUUUAUGGGCCGCAAUUAAUUGACUUCAUUGCUUUCCAAUGAUGGGAGGUGGACAAUUGGAGUAUCUCAAUAAGCAGCAGUGAUGAAUGGGGGUCACGCUCCUGAGCACCGCUUCUCGGCCUUCGGAAGACCAUUUUUGUUGCGCCUUGCCAUAAUAAAAUGUUGAACUCAGUGGGCGGUCAGGAUGUGGUUCCUAAAUAUUCUAGUGCCGAAUACUUGCAGCUAGCUCCCUUCUUGGCAUCCUCUGUCUUGCUAUUGAUCUCCAGUGCUUGGUGUGAAUAAUUAUGCCACGCGGCUCACCUCUCUCUCAUUUCUGACGCAAGUGACACCCGUUUUCUUGAGUGGCAUAAAAAAGGCUGGAUACAAUAUGGGGGAUGCUUCACAUCAGUAAAGGACCAUUCUGUGCUUCUCCGCAAGGGAUUUAGGAUUCUGAUCUAACAGUGAGUCAAAAGCUGUGAAUACAACUCCCUUUCACAAUUCUGUCACAGGAAACAGACCAAAAAAAUAUAUAAAUGUUUUGGUGCAAACUAAAGUUGGAUGUUCAGAUUUAGAGAAGGAAGGAGGAAGAAAGGGGAGACAUUUUGUUCAAAGUUUUCAGUAGGUUCUAGGCCAGCCUUCCAAUUUUUAACUACAACUUCCAUCAGCCCCAUCAGCACAUAGAAUUUCUCUCCCAUCUCUACUUGCGACCAGACAUGUACAGUGGUACCUCGGGUUACAAACGCUUCAGGUUACAUACACUUCAGGUUACAGACUCCGCUAACCCAGAAAUAUUACCUCGGGUUAAGAACUUUGCUUCAGGAUGAGAACAGAAAUCAUGCAGCGGCGGCGCAGCGGCAGCAGGAGGCCCCAUUAGCUAAAGGGGUGCUUCAGACCUCCAGAACAAAUUAAGUUCUUAACCCGAGGUACUACUGUAUAGGCUUCCAGAGUAAAGUUAUCAGGGAAAAUCAGCAGUACAGUGAAUGAAAAAUACCCUCACAUCAUAUUCAAAAUUAGCCAAAGGCUUUUUUUGAAAUGAAAGCUUCUAUAAGGUAAAGGUAAAGGGACCCCUGACCAUUAGGUCCAGUCGUGACCGACUCUGGGGUUGCGGUGCUCAUCUCGCUUUAUUGGCCGAGGGAGCCGGUGUACAGCUUCCGGGUCAUGUGGCCAGCAUGACAAAACUGCUUCUGGCGAACCAGAGCAGCGCAUGGAAACACCGUUUACCUUCCCGCUGGAGCGGUACCUAUUUAUCUACUUGCACUAUGACGUGCUUUCGAACUGCUAGGUUGGCAGGAGCAGGGACCGAGCAACGGGAGCUCACCCCAUUGCAGGGAUUCGAACUGCUGACCUUCUGAUCAGCAAGUCCUAGGCUCUGUGGUUUAACCCACAGCGCCACCUGCGAGCAUCUAUAUGUGGGAUCUAAAAGCCAGCAAUGACUGGCAGUAGUGUAGCAUUGGUUGCUGGUGCCCGGGGUGCACUUGUGCACUGCUGUCGCCGCUGGAGCAACCCCACCCCCAUUAGAGCAAAGCGGGGUUGUGCUGAGCAGCCUGCCCGUCCGGCCAGCAGACAGAGAGGAGUACCAGGCUGGGGCGUGCUGGGGGCACCUGGUUGGUGCCCCCUCAAGAAUUGUGUGCCCAGGGCCUCAGCCCUUCUGUACAACACCAAGCUACACCCCUGAUGACUAGGCCUAGUGUGUCCUAGUUCCAAAGGAAAGAAGCCACUGCAGUGGUACCUCAGGUUAAGUACUUAAUUCGUUCUGGAGGUCCGUUCUUAACCUGAAGCACCACUUUAGCUAAUUGGGCCUCCCGCUGCUGCCGCGCCGCUGGAGCACAAUUUCUGUUCUCGUCCUGAAGCAAAGUUCUUAACCCGAGGUACUAUUUCUGGGUUAGCGGAGUCUGCAACCUGAAGCAUAUGUAACCUGAAGCGUCUAUAACCCGAGGUACCACUGUACUUUGAAAGUCUUGCUGCUGCUUCCCUCUAGCCCAGGGUUUCCCCGACUGUGGUGCAUGAACCGCCAGUGGUCCACAAGCUUAAUUCUGGUGGUCUGCGGUGUGUCUGUGGAUUUGUGGUUGAACAAAGAAGACUGUACAUCCACCACAUCAAAUAUUCAUAUUGGUUUUUAAUUGCAUUUAAUUGCUUCUUUUAUUACUUACGUUGCACUUCCUUGUAUUACAGUUUGAAUUCCAUGUACAUACAGUUUCCGAGCGUCUUGGAAACUGAACAUUUCGGAACCUGAAUGCCAAAAACCUGGAAGUAAUUCCUUCCAUUUUUGAAUGCUUUUUGGAAGUCAAAUGGCUUCCGAUGUGCUUUUUUUUCCAAUUUCCCCCAUUGAGUUUGCCAACUGCCCUUUGCACCGUGGUUGUCAAAUGUUUUGGAAGUCGAACGGUCUUCCAGAAUGGAUUACAUUCGACAGCUGAGGUUCCACUGUACUAGAUCUAAGAAAUAAAAGAUUCAGUAAAACUGAAGUUGCUCCAACAGGCAGAAAAACCAUGAAGAGGUGCAUCAAAACCCUCAGCAAUUUUCAAAUGGUUUGGGGGGGGGGUGCGAGGAGUUUGGGCACCCUCUGCUCCAGCCUAAUUUCAAAACGUCAUGGCACUUGGUACUGGAAAUCAAUCUCCACCCCUCCUCCACCAGGAGCUCAAGUUGGCAUCUUUGCUGCCCCCUAUUUUAUCUUCAAAACAACCCUGUGAGGUAAGUUAAGCCAAGAGACAGCGACUGACCCAAAGUUACCCAGUGAUCUUCAUGGCUGAGUGGAGAUUUGAACCCAGGUCUCCGUGCUCUUAGUCCAACAAGUGAAACACUGCACCAUUUCAACGGUGCUUCCAGACAAUUUGUUUAUUGAGCAUUCAUCCUGAUUUGUUUGCAGGGAAGUUACACCCUUGUGCAAAUUAAUUGAAACAAAGCAUGCUUUCUAUCUUACUCGUAAUCCUGUACUCAAAACAAACACGAAAAGUCAGUUGAUCCUUAUGGUGUCGGAAGCCUGCAGCCAAUAGAAGGAAUGAUGCGCUCGCCACAAUACAGUGGUGCCUUGCAAGACGAAAUUAAUCCGUUCCCCGAGUGCCUUCGUCUAGCGGUUUUUUCGUCUUGCGAAGCAACCCGCUUAGCGGCUUAGCGCUAUUAGCGGUUUAGCGGCUAUUAAAGGCUUAGCGGCUUAGCUGCUAAAAGGCUAUUAGCAGCUUAGCGGCUUAGAAAAAGGGGGGGGGAGCGAAAAAAAAUCUCAAGACUCGCAAGACAUUUUCGUCUUGCGAAGCAAGCCCAUAGGGAAAUUCGUCCUGCGAAGCGCAUUGAAAACGGAAAACCCUUUCGUCUAGCGGGUUUUCCGUCUUGCGAGGCAUUCGUCUUGUGGGGCACCACUGUAUAUUGAGGUUCUACGAAAGAGAGUUAUUCCAGAGCUGGAAAAGAGGUGUCCUGAUAGUACUGGGAUAUUGCAGCAGGAUCUAGCUCCCUGUCACAUCUAAAGUGGUGAAAGCCCCCCCCCAUAUACAAUGGGGCCAGUUCCCCUCUCUUCCUCCGAAAGUCCAACACCAUCUCCUUUGUCUUGCUGAUAUUUGGUGCAAGUUGUUCUCUAGGCACCAUGUGGAGACUUUUUGAACCUCCUCCCUUUACGCUGAUUCAUCUCUACUUGUAAUUAGACCCUUUAUGGUGGCAUCAUCUGCAAACUUAAUUGUUGCAGUGGAUGGAUCAGAUGAAAUACAGUCAUAUGUAUACAACAAAUACAGGUAGGGACUCAGCAUGCAUUCCUGUGUUACACAAGGUUACACUUGCCCACACCCUGAGUAAGCACAGCACAUCCCUCACUCAUCUGGGAUGGAUUUAGGGAUUCUGAAAGAGGCACCAUGAUUCUGCAACAAGGUCUCAGCACUUUUCUGGUCCAGAAGUCCUGGCUGCGUUGACUUCUGUCCCUCCCACCACCAAAUCCAUCUUAAGCCGACCGAGUGCCAGAGCUACACAGGGGGGAAAGUAUGAUUCCCUACCCACCAACAGUGGUAGGAGCCGGUCGUUAACUGGCAAGUGAAGAGUGAUUUUCCAUCAAUCAAGAAGCCUCUCAUCUAAUUAAGUAUCGGUCUUCCCAUCCUUUGAUUAAAGAUGAUCCUGGAAAUAAUUCUUCCCACCUCCCUUAGCUCUGAUGAAACUGUUAAUUAGGGUGGUUUUUUAAUUUUUUUUAAGGCAAAUGCUGGCAGAUGGCCCUGUCAUUUAAGAAAACUGGUUCAAGACCUGCCACGCUAGGGGUUAAUAUCUCAAAAGACAGGGUUGGAGGUGUGUGUUAAAUGUAUGCUGUGCAUACACAUCCCUCUUUGCUGGACGUGUUGGAUACAACUCUAAAUGGGAAUUGGGAGUCCAUGGGUUCUCCAUCUGUGCUGAAGGGCAUUAUGGCGAUAUCUAUCCAGCAGGCAGAGUCUGAUAAUGGACCGCUAUGGUUUGGUCUGCAUGGUUAAAAGCUGCCAAUAGGUCUAUCUUCUAUGGCUCUGAUCCUUCUGACACAGUGACGUAGCAUGGGGUGGUUGCUCCAGACACAAAAUUGCUAGGGGUGCAAAAUUUCUACACCCAGUGCUGCCUCAAUACGGCUCUUCACUUCCAUCACUGGGCUCCGUUGAAAACGGCUUCUCCAUGCGAACCAGGAAGCGACCUCUCCAGACCCGGAAGUGACCUCUCCAGACGACGGAACCGCUCUUCUUUUCUUAUCUCUGCGGCUGCGAUCUCCUGCGUGGCACAGAUGCCAUUAGGGCUAGGCAGUUGAAUGUGAAUGUGUACUCUCCUUGGGCACUGGCAACCCGCGCUACGCCACUGUUCUGACAAGCCGUUCAUUCCACCCACCAUGAAUCCUGUGGUCCUGAAUCCCAUAGGCUGGAAGUUUGCCUUCGCCUCGCCAUUCACCUGUUGCCCUGAGAUCAAUUGAUCUCACACACAAACAAACAAAUCCCGCCGCAGCCAACCAAAGACAAUCAACAUACGCCCUCGGCCACCCCAAACUCUCUCACCACCAAGGAAAUAUAACAAGUGAGUAGAAACAGAACCUCUCCAAGUGACGCUGGCACAAAACCCCCACAAAUACACUAAGUAAAAGAACAUAAGCUUUACUACCACCACCCCCUCUCCCGUCUCCCCCACUUUUUUCUUCCCAACCCUAUACAGUGGUACCUCGGGUUAAGUACUUAAUUCGUUCUGGAGGUCCGUUCUUAACCUGAAACUGUUCUUAACCUGAAGCACCACUUUAGCUAAUGGGGCCUCCUGCUGCUGCCGCGCCGCCAGAGCACGAUUUCUGUUCUUAUCCUGAAGCAAAGUUCUUAACCUGAAGCACUAGUUCUGGGUUAGCGGAGUCUGUAACCUGAAGCGUAUGUAACCUGAAGUGUAUGUAACCCAAGGUACCACUGUACUGAAUAUAACACCAAUGUCUCAUAACAAAUGUAACUGACCUGUAGAAAACGCAACCUGAAGAAAGAGAUGAUGCAUGUGCUUUUGUAAAUGAGGAAAAUCAUAUAUAUAUAUAUAUAUAUAUAUAUAUAUAUAUAUAUAUAUAUACACACACACACACACACACACACACACAUAUACACACACACACACACACACACACACACACACGGGGACAGGGGUGGCGCUGUGGGUUAAACCACAGAGCCUAGGACUUGCUGAUCAGAAGGUCGGCGGUUCGAAUCCCCGUGACAGGGUGGGCUCCCGUUGCUCGGUCCCUGCUCCUGCCAACCUAGCAGUUCCAAAGCACGUCAAAGUGCAAGUAGAUAAAUAGGUACCGCUCCGGCGGGAAGGUAAACGGCGUUUCCGUGCGCUGCUCUGAUUCGCCAGAAGCGGCUUAGUCAUGCUGGCCACAUAACCCGGAAGCUGUAGGCCAGCUCCCUUGGCCAAUAAAGCGAGAUGAGCACUGCAACCCCAGAGUUGGCCACGACUGGACCUAAUGGUCAGGGGUCCCUUUACCUUUACCUUAUAUAUAAACAAGCUGUUCUUCACUCUGUCGGUUCCAUGCCAGAAGUUAUAAACCACAACCAUGUCCCUCCAGCUCCCCUUCCUCCUCACAUAUCUUCCUUACAAGCUAACCCCCCCCCCCCCGCAAGUACCCCACUUGCUUCAGACAAGUCUUCCAUUGUAAGGAUAGUUAUCAAUACCUUGAUGAUGUUACUUUCUCUUUUCAGGGACUUGGCUAUGUGCCGGUGGGCUAAACGGAACCAUAAACUCUAUUCUAAAUUGGGGGAGGGGGGAGCAACAGAUAGUCAGGCAAUCUCCCUCAAUAAUAUUAUUGCCUUAACCUCGUCGCCGUUGGGAGAGUGGCUGAAAUAAUGUACAGUGGUACCUCGGGUUAAGUACUUAAUUCGUUCCGGAGGUCCGUUCUUAACCUGAAACUGUUCUUAACCUGAAGCACCACUUUAACUAAUGGGGCCUCCUGCUGCCGCCGCGCCGCCGGAGCAUGAUUUCUGUUCUCAUCCUGAAGCAAAGUUCUUAACCUGAAGCACUAUUUCUGGGUUAGCGGAGUCUGUAACCUGAAGCGUAUGUAACCCGAGGUACCACUGUACGUGGUUGCACUCUGGUGGCAAGGAAGCCCUUCUUUCAAGGCCCAGUAUUAUUAAAUGAGUUUUUAUUAAAUGUCAAAACUAGGUUUGCCCACUACCAAGUUCAGUACCGUAUCUGAGAGACAAGGCUGCCAGACUCGGCCACCCCCACCCCCAUCCCUUACUCUUUUUUUGGGUGGCUGAUCUCCAGCUCCUAAUGCAUCAAACGAGAAGGACCAAGGCUGAAGCCCUUCAUCAGCCAAAACCGAAUCAAAGGGUCUGCAUGGAACUUGUGCUCCAAGAAGCUAGGAGGCAGGCACCCAGCAACGAGGCUGCUUUCUGAUGUAACGGCCAGUUCCCUGUUUUGUUUUGGUGUUUUUUUUCUAGCUCCAAAGCUGCUUCCCCUGUAGGGUGGCUGGCUCAUGCCUUUGGCCGGCUUACCCCCACCUCCUGCCGGCGUUCCAGACCUCUGACAGUGGAAGAAAAGGGUCGGCUUGGGGUUCCCGCUGUCUAAGUCUCCAUAACUCGAUGCAGCUCACACAGAGACGCCUGCUGAUGGGCUGGAAAAAUGUGUAUCGAUCGGUUGGACUUUGCAGACGGGUUUGAUCAAGGAAAAGAGCGUGCAAGUUUUGUGUGUGUGUGUGUGUGUGUGUGUGUGUGUGCUUGUAUCGGUGCGUGUGCAUGCAGUAUGCCUCAUCCCUACCCCCCACGCUGCGGACAGCACAGGGAGUUGGCCUGCCUUGCCUCCUCCUAAGCACUCUAAGAAAGCAAGCAUCUCUUUAAUGGAAUCCUGUACCAGGAGGGUCUGCGACAAAGUUUUGCAGUGUAUUUCCCGCCCCCAAGAAUGCUUUUACUCAGGGAUCCGGCCAACCAGCCUGGAAUUGGAGUCUGGUAGGGCCGUUCCGGCCCGGGGAAGGGAACAGCGGGGUGGGCGUGGUUAAGGAAAGGGAAAAUAUGGCCCUCUUGCAGGCUUCCAAUCCCAAACAUGAGCAUUUUAUGUAUAGCAAGGGAAAUGGGGUAGCUUUGGGGAGCAGGAAAGGGGAAAGCAUUCUCUCCCUGUUCAUUCCUCCUGCAACAUUCCCAUAUAGCACAGCUGGGGGUAUAUUUGUGUGUGUGUAUGAACAGUGUGUAUGGGACGCGGGUGGCGCUGUGGGUUAAACCACAGAGCCUAGGACUUGCCGAUCAGAAGGUUGGUGGUUCGAAUCCCCGCGACAGGGUGAGCUCCCGUUGCUCGGUCCCUGCUCCUGCCAACCUAGCAGUUCGAAAGCACGUCCAAGUGCAAGUAGAUAAAUAGGUACCGCUCCAGCGGGAAGGUAAACGGUGUUUUCGUGCGCUGCUCUGGUUCGCCAGAAGCGGCUUAGUCAUGCCGGCCACAUAACCCGGAAGCUGUACGCUGGCUCCCUCGGCCAAUAAAGCGAGAUGAGCGCCGCAACCCCAGAGUCGGUCACAACUGGACCUAAUCGUCAGGGGUCCUUUUACCUUUAUGAACAGUUAUGAAAUCAUUGAGUUGGAAGGGACCCGGUGCAGGGAGCUGGACUAGAUUACGUUCAAUGAUUUUAUGAUUCUAACAAAAGCGCUCUCUGUUCACGGAGGCAACAGGCUUCUCUGGACAUGGCUGUCACUUUAUACCAGGUGUUGGCGGAAACUUUGGCCCUCCAGAUGUUGCCCAACCACAGCUCCUGACGUCCCUGGCCAUUGGCCGUGCUUGCAAGGGCUGGUGGGAGUUGUAGUUCAGUGGCAUCUGUAAUGUGCAAGGUUCCUAAGCUCCUGCUUUGCGCUUUUCCAGGCAUGUGAUCUCAAACGAGUUUUCAAGUGCCAAGAGACCUGCGGAGAAAAAGUUUCUGUAUCAUGUUUAUCUUGCCUGUGGCUGGAUAAUAGAUCAUCUUACCCUGAUUAUCUACAUCUCGAAAUCAAUCUCUGCCCAACUCCCAAGCCGAUCUGUCAUUCCUGACGGGCCACUUUUGUCCAGUCACUGUGCUUCCUCCACUGGCAUCAAUUUAUCUCAAAGAGCAAAUUUGUUCUCUUUAUUUGCAUUAGAUGUCCAGUCCGUGCCUGUUUUUCCCACUUCAAGCUUCUGUCCUGUCCACCCUCCCGAAAGCCAACCAGUUUGGCAUGCAGACCCCUUCCGUUACAAAUCAAUACCCUCCAACAUUUCUCUGAUGAAAACAGGGACAGCCUAUUCCACAACAACAACAACAACAACAACAACAACUUUAUUUAAUAAUUAUACCUCACCCAUCUGACUGGGUUGCCCCAGCCACUCUUAGUGGCUUCCAAUAUACAGUGGUACCUCGGGUUACAUAUGCUUCAGGUUACAGACUCCGCUAACCUGGAAAUAGUACCUCAGGUUAAGAACUUUGCUUCAGGAUGAGAACAGAAAUCGUGUUUAACAUUAUUAUUAUUUUUUUUAAAAAACCUUCCCCAUACAGGGCUGCCUUCAGAUGGUUCAGGAGUCAGAUAACUGCCAGGGGUCAGCAAACUUUUUCAGCAGGGGGCCGGUCGACUGUCCCUCAGACCUUGUGGGGGGGCCGGACUAUAUUUUGAAAGAAGAAGAAAAAAGAACAAAUUCCUAUCCCUAUGCCCCACAAAUAACCCAGAGAUGCAUUUUAAAUAAAAGGACACAUUCUACUCAUGUAAAAACACGCUGAUUCCCAGACCGUCCAUGGGCCGGAUUUAGAAGGUGAUUGGGUCGGAUCCGGCCCCCAGGCCUUAAUUUGCCUACCCAUGGAUAACUCCAUACACUCCAACAUCUCUCUAAUGAAAAUAGGGACAUUCUACCAUAUCCUCCAACAUUUCUCUGAUGAAAAUAGGGAUGUCCUAAGUAAAUGCGGGACAUUCUGGGAUCAAAUCAGAAACCAGGGCAGCUUCCGUAAAACUGGGGCUGUCCCUGGAAAAUACGGAGACUUGGAGGGUCUGCAAAUCUGCAAUGGUGGCCCAAUCCCAGAAGGCAACAUACUGAGGGAUUCAUGAAACAUGUUUUGCUAGAUAGGCACACGAUAGGAGCUGAAGCUCAGAGUUUUCCUGUGAGUUUGCUAGAGAGGGACAUCCUCUUUUUAUGUCACUUUCCACCAAGCCAGAAAUGUGAAAACAUCUGCUCCAAUGCUCAGACACCAUGUUAGCCUAGAGACUAAAGUACAUCUUUGCAACCAAAUUGCCAUUUUAAGCCUGCCUGAACAAAGCUGCUGUAUCUGUUACUCAUCAGCAAGUAUUCUGAGUGAGUAAAUGUUAUUUUUACCUCCUGCAAGAUCGUUUGUGUGAUUAUCCUUUUAAGGGAGAGAAAAGUCCAGGAGAAUCCAGUCUGCCUUAAAGCACCCUGGAUUUUGUUGUUUAGUCGUGUCCAACUCUUCGUGACCCCAUGGACCAGAGCACGCCAGGCACUCCUGUCUUCCACUACCUCCCAAAGUUUGGUCAAACUCAUGUUUGUAGCUUCGAGAACACUGUCCAACCAUCUUGUCCUCUGUCGUCUCCUUCUCCUUGUGCCCUCAAUCUUUCCCAACAUCAGGGUCUUUUCCAGGGAGACUUCUCUUCUUAUGAGGUGGCCAAAAUAUUGGAACCUCAGCUUCAGGAUCUGGAAUUAUAGUGGUACCUCGGGUUAAGAACUUAAUUCUUUCUGGAGGUCUGUUCUUAACCUGAAACUGUUCUUAACCUGAGGUACCACUUUAGCUAAUGGGGCCUCCUGCUGCCACUGCGCCACCGCCGCACGAUUUCUGUUCUCAUCCUGAAGCAAAGUUCUUAACCUGAGGUACUAUUUCUGGGUUAGCGGAGUCUGUAACCUGAAGCAUCUGUAACCCGAGGUACCACUGUACUUAAACUAAAAGGCUAAAAGGAGCCUAGCUAAGCUUCCCUUUUAAGCUGCAAAAGGAUGGUACCAUGCUGAACUCAAAAAACACACGGAAGGAAGGAUAAUACCUAAUAAAUACAUUCCCUACUAGCAACUAUUCACAUCCCAACAUUUUGAACCCAAACAUGAAAUUGGGGGGCCUGUUUCUUAAUGAUUCCCCAUAUAUUCGCAUGGUGGUAGUGCUCCUGUUGUGCCCUACUUUGGAUCAGGCCAUGACCCACGACUGGAUCCUGACCCAGCAGUUGAAGACCACUGGAUUAAGCAGAGAGCUCUAAGUUAGGUCCCUCAGAGUUGGCGCUAAACCAGGGGUCAGCAAACUUCUUCAGCAGGGGGCCGGUCCACUGUCCCUCAGACCCUGUGGGGGGCCGGACUAUAUUUUGAAAGAAAAUAAUAAUAAUGGACGAAUUCCUAUGCCCCACAAAUAACCCAGAGAUGCAUUUAAAAUUAAAAGCACACAUUCUACUCAUGUAAAAAAACCAGGCAGGCCCCACAAAUAACCCAGAGAUGGAUUUUAAAUAAAAGGACACAUUCUAAUUAUGUAAAAACACGCUGAUUUCCGGGCCGUCCAUGGGCCAGAUUUAGAAGGCGAUUGGGCAGGAUCCAGCCCCCGGGCCUUAGUUUGCCUACCCAUGCACUAAACCCUCCCCUCCAGCACACGAAAGCAUAUUUUUUCAGUGCAGAAAAGCUGAGCACACCAGCUUAUGGAAGAGAUUGGAUACCUCCUUGUAUCACCCAAGACAUCGGUGGUGACAGGGAAUGCUUUGUGCGGGACAUUUGGGUGUUCGGAGCCAACCUGGAGCCUGGGGCGCUGUCAGUUUAGGCGCCCGGCGGCUGCGAAGAUUCCCCCAACCGUAGCUGACAGCAUCAUCUUGGGACACAAGAGCGUCUUGUCUCCACGACACAGCAGCGUGGCGUCUGCUGCAUCCGAUCAGCGUUAAAAGCCGCAGAGAGUUCCGGGAUGGGUGAUCUGGGCUGGCAGAGAUUAAAGGAAGCUCCAGUGAUGCACAAAUACAGGAGGCUGUGGAUACCUGGAGGAGGAGGAGGAGGAGGAGGAGGAGGAGGAGGAGGAGGAAGAAGAAGAAGAAGAAGAAGAAGAAGAAAGGGCAGCCAAUGUCGACGAGAGGCAGCUUUGACCACACCUCUGCCAUUGUGUAAUCUUUAGGGUUGCGUGGUGAGUUCCUGACCCACCCCCCCAGGUGGAAAUAAUGACACAUGACACAAUUUUUAAGGUUAAUGGGCUAAAAAAGGCCAGAACUUCAUUGGUUACAGGUGAAGAACAGUAUUGGCUUAGGCCUUGGUCCUAAACAACUAUAUCCAACUCCAGCCCGUCUGCUUGAAGUCUGGGAAGGGUUAACCACCAGUAGGGGGAGUCCUGCUGAUGCACAUCAACUAGGAACUCCUCCGGGGUCACCGCUAGGGGGGCGUGCCUUGGGCUCUAACCUCCUUAGGCUUCAGACAGGGCCACGCCCCCUGAAUCCAUUAACGGACUACCCUUCAAUAUGUGGGGCAGGUGAUGGCGCUACCUCCCCUCUUCCAUCUACAGAACUAUACCAAUGCCUAACUGCUAAUACCCAGAAAGUUGUGACGAGUUGCUACGAGGUAGGUGAAAACCAAGUGGCUGGUGCCAAUUUGCCAAGUGGAAAAAUUCCUACCAGACCCCUCAACGGCGACCAACCAAGGUCCAUAGCAAGGUCAAGGAACGAAAACCUAAUAGGGCGGGAGGGUGGGGGAAAACAGGAACAGCUGGCUGGCGGCAAAGAGGGAGAUCCCUGGCCGCAUCCUGCCUUAAAUAGGGCAGGCCACGUCCCCUGAGCCAGCCGAUUGGCCGGCCUGGGAAUGACGUGGCUGGGAAUCCCCCCCCCCAAUUGCUCAGGGCUGGCUCCGCCCACUGCACACGUGGAGGGGCCAUGAAGCCCGCAACCCCACCUCCUCCUUAGGCGGAAGUGGCUUUGCGACCUGAUUUGCUUUAGCACCCAUUGGUAUUAAGAAGGUGGUUUUGCACUAGGAUGGGCUGGCCAAGCUCAGGAACUAAUUUUGGGUGCUGGGACUUCAGCACGAUCAAGUAACCUCCUUUGAUCCCCACCAAGUGACCACAGCCUUUUUUUAACCAGGAGGUGCAUUUCAUAACACACAUCUGGUAUUAGAGUGCAUUCUUGCUGGCAUCCGUCCGUCCUCAAGAGCUCCGGGGGCGAAGUCAAACUGCUGUAUUAGCAGCACUGAACCGACUUCCCCUGGGUGUGAGCCUAGGCAGUGUGUCUGGAGAUUCUGGGCUGCCCAGACGACAAGACCCCCUCUUGACCCCGGUGAUGUGGUCCAAACGAAAGCAGAGCAAUAUGUUUGGCACCAGCGUGGCUGCAGGAAUUGGUGCGCGACUGGACUUAACUGUCAGGGGUCCUUUACCUUUUACCUUUAAGUAAAAGCAGAAUGAAAUCAGAAACCGGGAUGGCUUCUGUAAACCUGGGAAUGUCCCUGGAAAAUAGGGACACUUGGAAGGUCUGCAUUAUUAUUAUUUACUGAAUUUAUAUACCACCAAAACCUGGAGGUCUCAGGGUGGUUCACAGAAUAAAAUCUAGAUAUAAAACCACAAAAUACAUAAUAAAAAUAAAAACAACAACCCAAUAGCCCCCCCCCAACAAAACACAUUUUAAAAGGGCGUAGGAUGCAAAUCGGAUCAACCAUAGGCCUAAAGGUGUAUAAUGAAGGCUCCAGGUUAACUUUCCUGGGGAGAGCAUUCCACAGACGGGGAGCCAGUGCAGAGAAGGCCCCGUUUUCGUGUUGCCACCCUCCAGACCUCUUCAGGAGGAGACACAAAGAAGGGCCUCAGAAGAUGAUCUCAGGGUCCGGGCAGGUUCAUAUUAAAGAGGCGGUCCUUGAGGUAUUGCAGUCCUGAGCAUUUAUCAGGGUUCCAGGACACAACCCAGACAGGCAAAAUUGCUCAUGGUGGACAGAACAGGUCUGGAGACGGGUUGGGAGAGGGCAUUUGCAGGUGAAGAAGAGGAGGUGAAGCCUGGGCAGAAUCCUAAGAGCCAGACAGAGAGGCUUGGAGGUUGCCUUUGGCCUCCAAGCCAGAGGUUUCGCCUCCCUAACCUACGCCAUUGGUCUCUGGCAGUGGCAUAGCGUGGGUUGUCAGCACCCGGGGCAAGGCAAGUAAUUUGCACCCCCUAACCCGUGGAUUUGCACCCCCUAACCCUAACCCCCAGAUGUUGCGCCCAGUGCGGCCGGCCCCCCCUGCACCCCCCACGCUACGCCACUGGUCUCUGGAAAUCCUUCCCUGUGAAGACAUCUUUCCAUCUUAUACCUACUGGUUAAGGUACACUGUGGUCAGCACGGCACAAGUGUGUAAGUGGAGGUGGGGGGUUACUUUUGAUCCCUUCUGACGUUCUGGUGCAACAAGAGAGGCUUGUCAGAGCCGCUGCUGCAAGCGGGAAAGAUUAAAUUAUCGAACAACUAAAAACUCGAGUCUUCUUCUUUGCCUCAUUAAUUUCCCGGGAACUAUUAGCUGUCAGCGGCCAGUGGACCUUACAUUCAAAUUACGGAGCCUGAAUUGCUAAUUUCUCAUAAUCCAUCAGCGUGCUGAUGUCCCCGGCUAAUAUUAGCAGCGCUGGUUUCCCCCCGUACGGCGGGGGGGUGGGGGUGGCAAUGGCUUCCUGGCCUAAAACAGGAAAGACUGCUCUGAGGCAAGAGAAAGAUCGCCCUACAAAAUCAGGAAUUGGGGUGCAAGCUUCAUUUACUGGGGUUCCAUGGGUGUGGUGGUAACAUGGCACCAGAGAAGUCCUGCCCCAUGGGAUUUCGCUGCCCGAGAUGGCUGCUCCAGUCCGCCUCAAGGGAGGGCCAGCCCUGUGUUCAGGAUCUGCUUUAUGUUGCCAGAGCCUCUAAGCAAGGCAUGGGGAACCUGUGACCCUUCAGAUAUUGCUGGACUCCAGCUCCCAUCAGCCCCAGCCAGCAUUGCCAAUGGUUAGGGACAGGGAUGGAUGAAUAUGUCAGUUUCCGUUUCUCUCAUUGUUCCAGUCCUAAAUUCAGUUCUUCACAUUUCAACAUUAUUAUUAUUAUUAUUAUUAUUAUUAUUAUUAUUAUUAGGGGGGGGAAUCCUGAUGAAAAUUCAUUGGUGGUUUUAUGUGAGUUGCUUUGAAUAUACAGUGGUACCUCGGGUUAAGUACUUAAUUCGUUCCGGAGGUCCGUUCUUAACCUGAAACUGUUCUUAACCUGAAGCACCACAUUAGCUAAUGGGGCUUCCUGCUGCCAGAGCACAGUUUCUGUUCUCAUCCUGAAGCAAAGUUCUUAACCCGAGGUACUAUUUCUGGGUUAGUGGAGUCUGUAAAUCUGGCUGUUGAAUCCUAUUUCAAUACUGGCAAUGUAACUUGAAGCGUAUGUAACCCACUGUACACAUUUUGUAUGCAAUUUCCCCUAAUAUACCCAUUUUUCUUUGUUAUUUUAACUACUACUACUACUACUACUUAUUAUUUAUACUCCGCCCAUCUGGCUGGGUUUUCCCAGACAUUCUGGGCGGCUCCCAACAGAAUAUUAAAAACACAAUUAAACAUCAAACAUUUAAAACUUCCCUAAACAGGGCUGCCUUCAGAUGUCUUCCAAAAGUCAGAUAGUUGUUUAUUUCCUUGACAUCUGAUAGGAGGGCGUUCCACAGGGCGGGCGCCACUACCGAGAAGGCCUCUCUGCUUGGUUCCCUGUAACCCAACUUCUCGCAAUGCGGGAACCGCCAGAAGGCCCUUGGAGCUGGACCUCAGUGUCCGGGCUGAACGAUGGGGGUGGAGACGCUCCUUCAGGUAUACUGAAUAUAUAUACUAAUAUAUAUGCAUUUAUUGCAUUUCCCACGCAUACAGUAUGCAUUUUCAUGCUUUGGGAGUAAAUCUGGAGAAUUGUGAAUUUCAAAAGACAGCUGAGAGUCAGUUCGCUUAUUGUUUCUGAAAGUGCAUAUCAGAUAAGUGCACUUUUAAAUAUGAACUAAGUUAAAUUUAUUUCCCCAACCCCCAUUAUUAGAGAUAAUGGUAGCAAUACUCUGGCAACAUCUGACAAGUAGCAGGAUUUCCUGCCCCUGGUCUAAGCAUUGAGUAACAGCCUGCAACUGAGAGUAUAUGAGCUUGUACGCAGUAUUAGAGAGAGGCAACAGUAGUGGCUUUUGCCUUAGCAGCUGUGCUUUAAUUAAAACAACUGCAGAAAACUCAGAAAGAGACAAAAAGAGUGUCACAGCUGCUUAACUAAACACCAAUCUCAAAAGAUCCACAAAGACCAAAAUAUCCUUCCUUGUCAAGCUCUGCGGUGAGUAACAGUUGAACCACACGCUGCAUCGCAAGGGAAGGAGGCAUGGCUGGAUGGAUGUUGAAGUGAGAGCUACCAAACAAAUCCAAGCAAAAAAUCUAAGGAUCUGGUUUUAUUUUUAGACCAUUUCCUGAUGUGUUUCAAGAAUGCGGCUCUUUUUCAAUUACCCCCAAAUAUGCAUGCAAAUGGGUAAUAUAUUGUGCAGACUAGACAAUAUGAAACCAAGAUGUUCAUAUUUUUAUUAUUAUUAAAAUAUUUGUUGUUGUUUAGUCGUUUAGUCGUGUCCGACUCUUCAUGACCCCAUGGACCAGAGCACGCCAGGCAUUCCUGUCUUCCGCUGUCUCCUGCAGUUUGGUCAAACUCAUGCUGGUAGCUUCGAAAACACUGUCCAAACAUCUUGUCCUCUGUCGUCCCUUUCUCCUUGUGCCCUCAAUUUUUCCAACAUCAGGGUCUUUUCCAGGGAGUCUUCUCUUCUCGUGAGGUGGCCAAAGUAUCGGAGCCUCAGCUUCAGGACCUGUCCUUCCAGUGAGCACUCAGGGCUGAUUUCCUUAAGAAUGGAUAGGUUUGGUCUCUUCUUGCAGUCCAUAGGACUCUCAAGAGCACCAUAAUUCAAAAGCAUCAAUUCUUUGGCGACCAGCCUUCUUUAUGGUCCAGCUCUCACUUCCAUACAUUACUACUGGGAAAACAAUAUACCCCACUUUUAACCACAUCUGGGUAUCAAAUUGGCUUUAAAAAGAAACAAACAUGCAAUAUGCAAAAUGUUAAACCUACAUUGAAACACUGCUGAAUGAAACAUUAGAAUGUUCAUGGUGCAAAGUCCUUCUGCAAGAAAAAACAUUGGCCUGGUAUUUGGAACUUAGCAGGGAUGGUGCCUGGUGGAUUUCUAAUGGGAGGGAGUUGCAUUGAGUUGGACCCUCCACAUUGACACAUGACUCAUACUUCUUGUCCACGGGAGACCACAAACAGUGCAAUUUAUAUCUUUAUAAGUAUCCCCUCUAGGAUAAAGGGGUUUAUUUUAAUAAUUACCCAGUUGAUCUUUUUGCCAUCAGGUUCAACAGGGUCUUCAUGGUAAAUACAAAGUUUCUGCACAGCAGAACUCUUCUCUUUUACAACAAUGCUUUUCCUUGGCAGGAGAUGCCUCAACACAUUUUAUCAUAAAGAAACCAACAUCAGCACACUUUUAGGCAUAACUACCCAGACUGUUAUCUAAACUGUUACGACUAAAGUUUUAAGUAAAGUAAGACUCAGCUGUUGAGAAGUAUGAAUAAAAAUUCACCUUUCCUUUUGCUACACUCUCCAAAAAGAAUUGCGCAUCCUUGGCUGAGAGAUGGAAGAGAAGCCCUGAGUUCAAAUUCUACCAUCUGCCAAGUUCCUGAGAUGAUCUUCAGCAAGCAGUUCUCUCUCACACACCCCAUUAUCUGAGAAAUGUAGAGUGUUGCGCUGACCUACCUUUCAGGGGUCGUUGUAAGGACUGGUAGAGAAUAAUAUGCGAGACAUGCGCUGAACGUUCAAAAAUACGAUAUAUUGGAAUGGCUGACGUUUUCUUUAGCUUGGGUUGUUUCCUCACCUGUUCACCAUCCCACUAUUUCCUUUUGUUGUUCGAAACUUCACAUCUUUUCUGCACUUCUUCUUGACCUUAGACGUGCUGUGCACAAAGACACAUAAAUAAACCAGGAACCAGAAAUAUGUUUGCAGCUUCCCUGUAAAAGGAAAACAAAGGAGUGGGGAGCUGUAUGUGGAAAUGGGUGUGGGUAAAGGUACCCCUGCCCGUACAGGCCAGUCUUGACAGACUCUAGGGUUGUGCGCUCAUCUCACUCUAGAGGCCGGGAGCCAGCGCUGUCCGCAGACACUUCCGGGUCACGUGGCCAGCGUGACAAGCUGCAUCUGGCGAGCCAGCGCAGCACACAGAACGCCGUUUACCUUCCCGCUGGUAAGCGGUCCCUAUUUAUCUACUUGCACCUCGGGCUGCUGUCGAACUGCUAGGUUGGCAGGCGCUGGGACCGAACGACGGGAGCGCCCCCCGCCGCGGGGAUUUGAACCGCCGACCAUGCGAUCGGCAAGUCCUAGGCGCUGAGGUUUUACCCACAGUGCCACCCGCGUCCCUUAUGGGUGUGGGUAGACAAGCACAAAACCAUCCUUCCGCAGCACCACAAAUCCAACUCAAUGGUGUAACGCUGGAAAAUGCCGAUCACUUUUCCUACCUACACUUUCCACAAGGGCUGAAAUUGAUGCUGAAAUCCAGCAUCGCCUGAGCUUUGCAAAUGCGGCUUUCUCCCGAUUGAAGUGCAGAGUGUUUGAGGACGGGGACAUUCGCAGGGAAACCAAAAUGCUUGUUUACAAAGCUAUUGUACUACCAACCUUACUGUAUGCUUGUGAAACGUGGACCACUUAUAAACACCAUCUCCAACUCCUCCCACAUCACUUGGGAGCACAGGCAAACUAAUGCUAGUGUACUAGGAGAAGCAAAGAUCAUCAGUUUCGAAGCGAGGAUCAGCUUUGUUGGACUGGUCAUGUCGUGCGGAUGCCUGAUUAUUGUCUUCCAAAGCAACUACUCUAUUCUGAACCUAAAAAUGGAAAGCGUAAUGCCAGUGGUCAACAAAAGAGGUUUAAAGACUCUCUCGAGGCAAAUCUAAAAAAAUGUAGUAUAAACACCGACAACUGGGAAACACGGGCCUGCGAGCGCUCCAAUUGGAGAUCAGCCUUUACCAAAGGUUUCAUGGGCUUUGAAGAUGCUCAAACUCAGGACAAAAGGAAGAAAUGUGCUAAAAGGAAGGCACACCUAGAAACCUAUGUCCCCACUGUGGAAGGAGGUGUGGAUCCAGAAUUGGCCUCCAUAGUCACUUAUGGACCCACUGUUAAAACCGGGUUUAUGGAAGACAAUCUUACUCGGCCAUGAGUGAUCACCAAAGAAGAAGAAGAAGAAGAAGACUCAGGGACAUUUCUUCGAACAGCCAGGGCUCAUGUCUAGGGCUCCGUCUGCACUAUAUAUUUAAUGCAGCACCAUACCGCUGUAGACAGGCAUGACUUCCCGCAAAGAAUACUGGAAACUUUAGUUUGUAAAAUCGUGAGAUGUUAGGGCACCCCUAUUCCCCUCACAGAGCUAUACUCUCAGACUUUCAUGAGACUUUCCUGAGAAUAAAUACCAGCUGUUAAAGUACUGAGGGAAUUGUAGCUUUGUGCGGAUAAUAAGGUUGCCCUAACAACUCUCAGCAUCCUUAACAAACUACAGUUCCCAGAAUUCCAGAUCCCUAUUUGCAGAUUUACAGAAGCCAUCCCAGUUUUUGGUUUGAUCCCGGAAGGUCCCACUUUUCCUUGGAGAAAUGUUGGAGGGUAUGGAGUUAUGCGACACCCCCCCCCCCAGGCCAAGGAGAUCAUUAACUAGACAACCUUCAGGAUACACUUGAAGGCAGCCCUGUAUAGGGAGGUUUUUUUAAAUGUUUUAUUAUGUUUUUAUAUAUGUUGGAAGCCGCCCAGAGUGGCUGGGGCGACCCAGUCAGAAGGGCGGGGUAUAAAUCAUAAAAUUAUUGUUGUUAUGAUUAUGGAAGAAGACGUCCCUAUUUUUAUCGGACAAACGUUGGAGGGUAUGGAAUUCUUUGGGGAAAGCCAUGACAGUUUAAAGUGGCAUAAUAGUGCAAAAGAGGCCUUAUACCACUUUAACAGUCAUGGCCUCCCACCAGGAAUCCUGGGAACUGCCAUUUGCUAAGGGUUCUGGGAAAUGUAGCUCUGUGAGGGGACGUCUCCUAACAACUCUCACCACCUUUGACAAAUGGCACUUCCCAGGAUUCUUUGGGAGAAGCCAUGACAGAGUGAUAUGAGAGUGCUUUCAGUGUAGGGUGUGAACGUGCUUUAAGUAACUAUAGGUAACCCACCCCACCAAAGCUUAGCUGUCAACUUACAGAUUUGAAAAUAAGGGACCAGCAGCCUCGAAAAUAAGGGAUCAGCAGCCAAAAUAAGGGAUUUUAGUCAACCAGCUGAAAUGAGAAGUUAAAAGGGACCAGAUAAUUUGGGAGAGCAGCGCUGGUUUUUAGCCCUUCGUUUCCAGAGGUUGCUGCUCAAGACACCAGCUGAUGAAACACUGCAAUUAAAUAACUACAAGCAGGAACCACUUUUUGCACAAAACGAAGUCCAAGCUACAAAGAUGCUGCUGCAGUUCUGUAUCUUUUCUCUCGUGCUCCAUCUGCAGCUCUCAGUUCCAUCAGGCAGGGCAGGAGGAAGGGGGGGGGAAUAGUGCCUGAAGUAAACCUGCGGAUCAGACCAUCUAUGCUAAUCUACCACUACAAAUCUAUGGGAGAAGCGCUUGCGGUCCUUCCUGCGCUUUCCCCCUCUAUGGUUAGCCCUUGGAACACCUGCCCGCGCCUCCGCCUCCGCCUCCUCCUCCUCUCCCUGAACUGCUUUCUCUAUGGUUGCCCUCGCUCUCCUCUCAAGACUGCCCAUCUCAUCUGGGUCGUUCGGCAGCGCAGCCGCAGUACGGCCUAGCGGGAGCGGCGGCGGCGAUGGGCAGAGGGGAGGCCCCAGUCAGAGACGCUCAGUUUGGCGGCCGCGAGGAGGAUGGUGGCGGGAGGGCCCAAGGCUCCCACCAGUCCUGGCGGGGAGGGGCUCCCGGGGGCCGAGGCUGGUGAGAGGAGGCGGUGGGGUGGGCUGGGCAGCCAAGCAACACAGUUGGAGCCUCCCUCCUCCCUGGCCGGCAGGGAGGGAGGGAGAGGAGCUGCUUCCUUUGAAACCCAGGAAAUUUAAGGGACAUCAUCAAUAAGGGACAGCAGCGGGACACGGCGCCGGGAUAAGGGAGUUUCCCGCCAAAUAAGGGACGGUUGACAGCUAUGCACCAAAGGUUAGGAAGCAGAAACAGGACAAAUGAAGGUUGAGGUCUCUAGUUUUUCAGCAUGCCAGUCCCCUGCACCUCUUAUUUGACAAUUAAACACAGGAAUGCAGUUCAAUGCCCUCUGCCUCAUUUUCCUUUCUCCUUGAUAGCUGCCUUGUCCCCCACCCCUCGCCAAAUCAACUUGUUUGUUUAGUAUGCUCAAGAGUUUCCUAACUAGGAUUAAACCACCGUGGAGAUUUAGACUUCACCUCUUUUCAAAGUCAUCCGAAACACACACACACAACAGCUGGGGUUGCUUUUCUCCUCUCCUAGUGGUGACAUCAAACGCCUGGCCAGAAGAACAGGUCCUUCUGCGCUGAUUCUUCCAGGCGGCUCUAUAGUUUUGUCACCCAGCACAGAUAUUGUGAGUGCAAAAUCCACAAAUAUCAGGCCCAUUCAGAGCAACGUACAGAUGUUUCAGAUGCAUCUCCAGUACACAUGGAAGAGUGUGGCAGGAGAGAAUCAGGGAAUCUUUCUAGAGUAUCACCUUAAUUUUCAUUUCAUUUCACUUUUAACUUGUACACCGCCUUUCUAUAUUACCACACGCAAGGCGGUUUAGAAGCUGAAGAAACCACAAAACAGACAGCACAGAUCACACACAAAAUAACAAUCUGAUCCAAUACAAAAAAAGUCAUGAUAACUUUAAAAUAAACAACUUAUCUCAAACAAAGCAAUAUUCAAUAAUCCAUUAGAGCAUAAUAAUAAACAGUAAAAUUAAAUAUCAGCAAAUAAUAAUUAAACAGUUUACACCUAUCAGUUACGAUAAAGAAUUACUAAACUGUGAUCGGUUACGAGAACGGCGAGUCACAAUGCAUAAAAUACCACAAAACACAUGAAACUCUCGCAGGGGUGGGGAUGAUGGCUAGAGUUCCCAAUAAACUUUUGAGGAAGUCAGGUGCAUUGUAUUUUCAGUAAAUGUAUAUAGUGGUACCUCAGGUUACAUAUGCUUCAGGUUACAGACUCCGCUAACCCAGAAAUAGUGCUUCAGGUUAAGAACUUUGCUUCAGGAUAGGAACAGAAAUCGUGCUCCAGCGGCGCGGCAGCAACAGGAGGCCCCAUUAGCUAAAGUGGUGAUUCAGGUUAAGAACAGUUUUAGGUUAAGAAUGGACCUCCGGAACGAAUUAAGUACUUAACCCAAGGUACCGCUGUAGUGUGGAUUUGCCUGUUGGAAACUGUGGCCUUCCAGAUGCUGAUAGACUUCAACUCCCAUCAGCCCCUGCCAGAGCAGCCAAGAACCUGGGGUGAUGGGAGAUGUAGUCCAACAGCAUUUAGAAGGCCACAGGUUUCUCAUCCCAAGCUUAGGCCAUGGUCGCCCUACAUGAUAACAUGUCAUAACGACUUCCUUCAGAGGCAAAGUCAGAUGCAUAAGGAGCCCUUCUUUUCCCUCCCGCCCGGCUUUCCGUGCCGUUGAAUCUUCCCUUGCCCUUCGGAUGAAAAGGCAUCGAUCUGACCACAUCUAUAACCCCUCGCUUUCCACCCGGCCCGGCCCAGUUUCCUGUGUAAUUAUGCAAAGCAAAUAACUGCCACACGGCUGCUCAUUGAUUUUGUAGCUGAUGCUGUUUGCUUAACCUUUCGAGAGAGAAACUGCUGUUGCGGUGCAUCUUGGAGGCUUUGCUAUUCCCACCACCGCCAGUCUCCCCGCUGCUGACGCGGAAGAAAAUAAAAGUGAAAACCUUCAAGAUUCACUGCCCUUUUUCCGUCUGGAGAGGUCUGAGGGAGACGAGGAGAGCCGGCCCAUCCAUUUGGCGGGGAGUGAAGCAGCCGAAACAGGAUGGGCCACAAGUAGAAAUCAGUCGCUGGCGUGUGUGUCGUUGAUACCAGGAUGCCCAAUUUGAAAUGGGUUUGCAGCAUGACUUGUAGGACUACAUGCCUUCCAACAUUUCUCCAAUGAGACGUGUAACAACAACAAACAACAACAACAACAACAACAACAACAACUUUAUUAUUUAUACCCCAUCCAUCUGGUUGGGUUUCCCCAGCCACUCUGGGAGGCUUAUAUAGCAUAUAUAAAAACAUUAUGGUCCUACUCCAAUAAUAAUAAUAAUAAUAAUAAUAAUAAUAAUAAUAACCCACCCAUCUGGUUAGGUUGCCCCAGCCACUCUGGGUGACUAAAUAGGUCCAAGCCUGGUCUGUGCCUGGAUAGGGAGAUCACCAGCCUCAGAGAUCUAUUUAAGCUACCUUAAUUUCCAUAGAAGAAAAGGUGAUUAUAGUGGUACCUCGGGUUAAGUACUUAAUUUGUUCUGGAGGUCCGUUCUUAACCUGAAACUGUUCUUAACCUGAAGCACCACUUUAGCUAAUGGGGCCUCCUGCUGCCGCUGCGCCACCAGAGCACGAUUUCUGUUCUCAUCCUGAAGCAAAGUUCUUAACCCGAGGUAAUAGUUCUGGGUUAGCAGAGUCUGUAACCUGAAGCGUAUGUAACCCGAGGUACCACUGUAUAUGGAACAAAUGUAACCAAAUAAGAUUUCAAAAUCUUUCCCCGUCACAGUGAACAGAGUUGUUUUUUCCAAAGAGAACACAGGCUUUUUACGAACAAGUUCUAGGCUUCACCAACCCUUCAGUAACACAGUCCAGAGGGAGUGCAAGACUAUUUUAUUUUAUUUUAUUUCAAAAAGAGGGUUCCUUCUCAUUUGGCUAGAAGGCGGUGCUGAUAACGGCAAGGUUGCAGGUUCGAUCCCCGUAUGGGGCAGCUGCAUAUUCCUGCCUUGCAGGGGGCUGGAGUAGAUGAUCCUCAGGGUCCCUUCCAACUCUGCGCUUCUAUGGUUCUCAAAACUGUGGUACCAGCUCCCUCGCCGCAGCCCUCCCCUGCCACCCACCACCACUCACAGCGGCUGGCAAAUGUCUCGUUCAAAUGUCAGAAUCCCGCGUGGUUUUGGCCCCGUCGGGAUUUGCCAGCAAUUGGUCAAAACGGGAGAGAGAGGCUGACUCAUUUAGCCCACAGUCUCAGUGAGGAAUAUUUUUAGGAGCUCAUUAAAAGAGAAAGGAGACUGAAGAAGAAGAAGAAAAAAGAGAGCGAGAUGCUGGUGAGAGGAAGGAAGCCAAAGCCGAGCUAUUAUUUUUCAUUCCAGUGACAGCUCUUAGCAGUGCCACUGGGCCUGUCAGACGUAGCAGUGGCAUAUCUGAGUCUAAUAUGGUCAAGGCCUUUUGUGCACACACGUGUGUGCGAGGGAAGAGGCUGGCACACGCGUGUGGCGGAGGGCAUGCGCACGGAAGCAACACAAUGCGUUCUUGAACAGCCACUGGAAAGCUUGUGGUCAAAGCAAGGUAUCCAGAAAGUGCCAAACUUGGAUAAAGAAAUAUCCCCACUCCCCGCUUAAUGGGUGAAGCAAGCAUAUAAGUAUUUCUACCCUGAGACUGGCAGUACUUGGAAGAGAAACAAAACUUUUAAUAAUAGUGACUUACAGUGGUACCUCUGGUUACGAACGUAAUUCGUUCCCGAGGUCCGUUUUUAACCUGAAACUGUUCUUCACCUGAGGUACCACUUUAGCUAAUGGGGCCUCCCACUGACGCCAUGGCAUGAUUUCUGUUCUCAUCCUGAGGUAAAGUUCUUAACCUGAGGUACUACUUCUGGGUUAGCGGAGUCUGUAACCCGAAGUGUUUGUAACCCGAGGCAGCGGCGUAGCGUGGGUUGUCAGCACCCGGUGCAAGGCAAGUAAUUUGCGCCCCCUAACCCCUAACCUGCCGCCGCUGCCAGCUUCUUCUUGCUGCUGCCUGGGCUGGUCUGGUGUGGUUCUCUCCCGUGCUCAGCGCUGCGCUGGGCGGCCGCUGCACUGUCCCUCCCCCAGAUAGUCCCUCGCUCUCUCUCUGCACCGCACGCCUGGCACCCACCCCCUCCACAGUGGGCGGCGACCCAGCGGCUCGGAUCGGAUUCGCACAGCCAGCACUGCAGUGAGAGAGAGUGAGUGAGCCAGGUAGGGGCAGAGAGCUGCGAGUGCGAGCGCGCCCCCCAGAUGUUGCGCCCGGUGCGGCCGGCACCCCCUGCACCCCCCACGCUAUGCCACUGACCCGAGGUGUUUGUAACCUGAGGUACCACUGUAUUUAGUGCUGCUAGGUGACCAAACCAAAGAAAGGAUAAUUUUUGUCCACCACCUUAAGUCCUUAAAAAAAAGAGAAUUAUCUCAGGUAUAUGAUAGUUCAGCCUAUGCAGAAUUGCCAGAUUUUGAGGUACAGUAGUACCUCGGGUUAAGAACUUCAUUCUGGAGGUCCGUUCUUAACCUGAAACUGUUCUUAACCUGAGGUACCACUUUAGCUAAUGGGGCCUCCCGCUGCCGCCGGGCCCGCCACCGCACAAUUUCUGUUCUCAUCCUGAAGCAAAGUUCUUAACCCAAGGUACUAUUUCUGGGUUAGCAGAGUCCGUAACCUGAAGUGUCUGUAACCUGAAGCGUCUGUAACCCGAGGUACCACUGUAUUGUUAUGUCCAAAUAUCUAAAUGACUUUGUGCAGAAGGUUAUAUUGGGAGUGACCUAUGCAUUCCUGAACUUUUGAGAUGGGCAGUGGUGGGGUUACGCUAAAGCAAAGUACCUCUGACUUACUAUGGUUGCUUUGCAAGCCCUUACUGCCCCAUAUCUUUCUAAUUUCAGCUUUAUUUCCUUGACUGCCUCUUCCAGAUUUGACAAUAGCAGAGUCACUUCAUCUGUGCAAAGGCUCGUUUAUUGCUUGUGUGUGUGGCAUUGUUGCCUUUGCUUUUUUCCUGCCUCUCCUCAGCUUUCCACAAAUAAGCUUGUGUUUUGAUACUUGGACCUCAUUUGGCUUCAUUGGUUUGAAAAGGAACGUCUCGCUAAAACCUUCCCCACAUGUAUGAUUUUGAGCGCUUCCAGACUGUUGCUAUUUUUGCACGAAAUUCAGUCACAUCGCGGCAAAUUCAGGUUGUGCAGUUUGAGUUGAUUGACGGGUCCAGCACAACAAAGCUGGUUCUGCAAAAGAUCAAACUUGGGGGGGGGGUGAGGAAAGUGACAGAAAAACACACUGGGAAGCAUGUGAUAAGACUGGUGGUAGAUGCAACAUCUUCUAACCUCCCCUCAAACAAAUCAGAAUGAAUGCUCAUUAAAUAGGUGCUAUCGUCUAAUCUCCCUGCAGAGAAAUCAAGAUGAAUGUGCAAUGAACAGAUUGUCUGAAAUUGCCCUGCGUGGUUGAAGAUAAUGCAACCUUGUGCUAUAAGGAUAUUUCAGACAGUUUUAUUAAAUUCUGUGUUCACCAGGUUUGGGCCUAUUUCAACCUCCAGACCUAUAUUCUGCUGUCUUUGCUGGUUAUUUCAUCAUAUAGGGAGUGACUGGGUCAUGGGACCUUGGCGUGUACAAUGGAACCUUGGUUUCCAAACAUCUCAGCUGCUGAACGUUUUGGAAGCUGAACGCCGAAAAGCCGGAAGUGAAUGCUUCCGUUUUCGAACGUGCUUCAGAAGUCGAACGGCUUCCGAGGUGCGUGUUUCAAUUUCCCCCAUUGAACUUGCUGACAGCCCUUUGAUCCUCAGUUUCUGAACGUUUCAGAAGUCGAACGGACUUCCAGAACGGAUUACGUUCGAAAACUGAGGUUCCACUGUAAUACAGAGGCCAGUGUACUGCAAAUCCAAGAGAAGCUGGCAGGGAGACAUCAGGGCAGAGAGCCACCAGUAUCUCUGAUAUUAUUCCAACUGCAUCUCCUAACCACUUGUUUCUGAUGUUUGUCUAAUUGUUUAAAAACGUGCCUAAACCGCGUAAUAUUUCAAUAAACUGUAAGUGGUGUUUGAAUCCUCAAUCAGUCUGGUCACCAUCUAAGGUUCUGCUCUGUGUUCCAGUUGCCUUGGAAAGCGAAGAGACAGGGUCUUUUCCACUGUGGCACCACGACUGCAAAAUAACCUCCCAAGGGGGUGCGUUGCCAGCCUCAGUCGCUGCUUGCCUUUUGAUGAGACUGCGAACUUGGCUCUUUGAGCUGAGCCAACACAGGGACGUCUGCGGGAUCGAUCCUAGUUUGAUGUUUUGGCAUGUUCUUUCUUUCCUUUGUGGUAUGGCUGGUCUCUGUCAACCCUGUUUCAGUCUUCUACCAUUGUUUUAUUACGGCUUUAUUAUUGUUUUAAUCCUUUGCAAUCUGCUUCGGGGGUUCGCCGACUGUUGGUAGAAGGCUGUUUCAGUCUUCUACCAUUGUUUUAUUACGGCUUUAUUAUUGUUUUAAUCCUUUGCAAUCUGCCUCGGGGGUUCGCCAAGACAAUGUGUAGAACAUUAAGCAUCUUAAUCAAUCAGUCGAUCAAUCUGCGUUGGGCAGAAAAUCUGAGCCCUGUCUCGUGAAUGUACACGCUAUUCAAAGCGUGCAGCAAAUUACGGGGAUGGAGACAGGGGACGGACAUCGACUCAGGGGAGAGGUCAUGUGGGGGGAGGCUGUCACGUUGAUUUUCAAAUGUACAUAUUGCUUCCAAAACCUGAGAGUGCAAAAAUCUGGAAUUUAAAUUUGAUAUUCCUCAGUGGACUUCCAAUUUGUUGGGUGGAUUUCAUCUUUUAAUGAGUGGCCUUAAAUCCCUCUGUGCGUGUGCGCUCAGAAAGAGCAUGACAGUACUCACGAAAGCCCAAUUAAUUCUGAUUAGCUCUACCACACCCCUUCACUCUUGGGAGGCCUCCGCAGAACACUUAUCAAAGUCCCAAAGCAACCCGGAAGGCUUUUUCCAAAAAUGAAAUUUCCUUCCUUAAAAUGAUGUUCUGUAACAACUAAAGAAGUGGAGCAGAUAGGUCUUUUGAAAUCCUUCUUUGUAAAAGGAGGGGGAGGGCUCUCGUUAAGAUAAAUUAAAUAAGAAUAAUUGUCUGUUCUGCAACAAUUUUUUUUUAUAUAAUUUUUUUUUGGUCCGGGGUGGUGUCUUUAUCUAUUGCUACAGUAAGUAAAACUGCAGGUCAUAAAUGACUAAUUGAUUUCUUACGCGGAUUAAAUUUGAAGCACUUUACACGAGCAAUGGGAGGGAAAAAAGGAGGUCACGGAGGCUAUACUGCGUUGCGAAAGAGACAAAGAAAUUGAUUUGAAAAUCGAUGCUUUGAGAAAUGAUUAAAUGUUCUCCUUGCCAGAAUAGACCUAAAUGAGUCUCUGAGGUUCUCACAAAGAUGAAUUAAUUAGAAGACUCUACAGAUGCCGGUGGGAUGUUGCGUCUCUGCGCUCCGAUUUGUUCUUCUAACCUGCUGCAUUGACGAGGAAGAAGGAGGCAGAUCAGAGGCCUUCGGGAGAUACUGGAGAAAGGGAGAUUCAAUAUGGAGCUGCAAGCAUUUUGAAUAAAUGUGAUGUCUUCCCCCCUUCGUCUUUUUUGGGAAACUGACAUUCCACUUCUGACACCAUUGUUUCCCCUUUGUAAAACAGCUGGAGCAGGAUGAAGAUCUUUUUUCCCCAACAGAGGAGGGUGGUUAUUGGAGCUUUGUAUCAUUAGUUCCAAUCCAGCAUCGGCUGCUCGAUAGUCUUAACAAUAAAAAGGAGAAGAAUGGGAUGCAAGGAGGGGAGGCUGGGAAUUCUGAAUAUUCCUAGCCGAAUUACAGCUGCCACUCUUGAUCCCAUACAAAGCUCUGGAGCAGUGAAAUGGAUAGGAGCGGGUUGCAAGCAGUUUCUGGAGGGGAAAACCCAUACGUUUUUCUUUCUACCCAUCAUUUCACAAACAUUAUUUUAAAAAGAACUUUUAAAAACAAUGGUCAAAACAUGUGAAUGAGUUACAUUUACAGCUGUUAAACCUCAGCUGAUGAAACACAGAGAUCCAUUGAACAAAUCCUAUGUGGAUUUAGAGAGGAAUGGAUAUGCUUCCUUUCCAUAAUGCAGCACAUCCGAAUCUUCCUGAUGCACAGUGAGAAUUUUACCACCUUAUUGGAAGUCCUAGAAGAAGGACAGUCUCAGAAACCAGAAUGAGGAAUACAGCUCUGAUGCAGAAUGGUGAGAACCUUCCCCUCUUCCUGCUCCUGACCAGGACCCUGAAGCUGCCCAGGAACAGUGGAGCAUAUAGAUUGAGAGAAUUGGUUUGCAGAGGGGCAUAGUUCAGAAAACAACAGCUGGGCAGAGCUGAGUGGGGAACAACUAGGAGAAGCAGAACAGGAAGAGAGAGAGAGAUAACUGACUCCCCUUCGCUGGAAAAUCUCCAGCCUCUCUCCCCAAGGACAAGGAGAGCUGAUAAGGUUGCUACGCAGAAGGCUCAGUGGUUGUGAGGUUGCAAGAAGGGGAGGUAAUGGGAAUGACUCUGGGGGAAGUAGGAGCAAAACUUAAUUGGGAGCACCUUCACUCUGAGAAUGGCUGUGUUGUUCUUUUGCUGUGAUCAUUAAACACUCUUAAACUGGUAAGGGACUCUAAUUGCUUUGUUCUGCUGAUGCACGGCCAAAGGGGUGGGGAGGAAGCCGUUUCCUCAAUGCCUGACAGGUAGGAUUCAGAAUGAAACAAGAUUCAGGAUGAAACAAUGCCUGACAGGUAGGAUUCAGGAUGAAACAAGAGGAGUAGUUCACAUAGUUCAGGGGCAGGGAAACUUUAUGGGUCUCUCUCCCAUAGCCUGUGGGUCAACUUUGGUGGGUGGGUUGGCCACGUACUUGUCAAUCAUCUGGCAGCUGAUGAGCAGAGAGUUUUAAUCCUGCUCUCUGCAGGCGUCCGCAUCACUGGUGCGUUCCCCACAGAGAAGAUGCUGAUGAAGCAACACACAGCAGGAGGAUGAGUUAAAUCCUGCUGCUUUGGCUUCAUGCAGAAGUUCCCUUUGGGGAAGCAGUGGGCACAGCCAACACAUAACUGAACCCCGUCCCUGCCUGUCAGCCAACAUCACCCGCCCAUUGAGAUGACGUCAGUUGAUUGGCAGGUGGUCAUGACUUGGGGGAGAUGGCCUCAUGAGCCAUAUUGGCUGGCCAAGAUUGGGCCGUGGGACAGAAGCUUCCUAUGUGGUAACUCAUCACAGGAAAAAUGUUUGUGUUGGAGUAGGACUGGGCUAGGGGCAAUAGGCUAGAGUGAACCAGGACAGAGCCGUCUUUCCCAUAGGGCUUAGUGGUGCGGCGCGCCAGGGCGCCAGCCUCUCAGGGGCGCCCCAGCGAGUGGGGGAGCUGCGCGGCUUUGCCGGCGGCCUCCCCUUUCCCUGCACGCAUGCCAGCUGUGCCCUGCCAACCAUAUGGCUGGCAGGCGUGCAGCUUGCCUCCCAAGCCUCUGUGGGGAUCGCUCUCCUGCAGUAGCAUGGGGGAGAGUUGCGCCUCCCCCCGAUGGCUGCAGUGCGCAGCUUCAUCCCAUCCCCGUCCCCCCACUAUCCGUGGUAACUGUUGACAUUGCUAUUCCACCUUAAGGAGCAGAUGUGUGGAACUGUUGUGUGUCACAUGUCUGUUUACAUUCCAGCACAGCUUGCUGGGAACUUCCGUUGUGUAUAGCUUUUGCUUUUAGCUGCUCUCUCUGAGACGACAUGCGAGAGAGAGAUGACAUGUUUCUUUGUCCUGAUUUAUGAUUAAUAAAUCCUUGUCCUGAUUUAUGAUUAAUAAAUCUGUAGUUGUAGUAUGCUUCCACAAGCCUCACGCCUAUUCUGUGUCCGGAGUUCAAUCUGCUGACAGUGUGCCCUGGCUCAGAAGCCCGGGUCACUGAUUUACAUCGGAGCAGAGGUGAUGUUCUUUGCUGCGGGACGGCUGGAAGGAGAUGGCCUAGCCAGGGCUAGCCAGCUGGCCUCCCUGCCCUCUGCAUGCCAACAGUAACUUGGGGGCACUGGGUGGAUAUUUGCACCCCGGCACCGCAUCUGCUAAAGACGGCCCCGAACCAGGAGCUGUUGGUACAGAAUUGAAGGACAAAUCUAGGAGGCAGGAUUGAGGAGCAAGCCAGAAGUCAGAACCAAAGGUAGGCUCCAGAGACUUGCUGAUCAAGCAAGGCUAAGCUGGAAGAGGAAGUCCUCUUAUGCUGCUUCCUGUGGCAAAAAGAGAGGGAAUCCUAAUUGUAGGCUUCACAUUUGCAUCUGAUUGGCCACUGUGGGGAAGAGGAUGCUCAGCUAGAUGGGCCUUUCUCCUGAUCCAGCAGGCCUCUUGUUUACAGACUUCAAUUCUUAGGAACGGAGAACUCCUGAAGACAGGCAGCCAGCAGUGGGCAUGGUUUGCUUACCUCUGUCUUUCUCUGACUGUUGGUGGGAGAGUCACUGGCAUUCUNNNNNNNNNNNNNNNNNNNNNNNNNNNNNNNNNNNNNNNNNNNNNNNNNNNNNNNNNNNNNNNNNNNNNNNNNNNNNNNNNNNNNNNNNNNNNNNNNNNNGGAUAUGAAUCGUGGCUAGCAUUUGUGUGCACACAGCUUCCCAAGCCAGCAGCAGGAGCACACUGGAUGCAGAAUACAGUGGUAGCUCUGGUUGUGAACGGAAUCCGUUCCGGAGGCCCGUUCGCAACAUGAAAAGAAUGCAACCCGCGUCUGCGCACGAUCGGGUAGCAAUUUGCCGCUUCUGCGCAUGCGCGUGAUGUCAUUUUUGCGCAUCUGCGCAUGCGUGAGCAGCGAAACCCAGAAGUAACCCUUUCCGGUACUUCCGGGUCGCCACUGGACGCAACCCGAAAAAACGUAUCAUGAAGCAAACGUAACAUGAGGUAUGACUGUAAAUGGGAAUGUGUACAGUACAUUUUGGCCCAUGCUCCUAGCUCCUGCAUGCUAUACCAGCUUUCCAUGUUGACAUGCAGAGACCCCCUGACUCUCCCGCUGUGUUUGCUAGGCCCACAUUCCACUGCGGAUGGUGGUCGGGCCGGGGAUUGGGGGAGGAAGAGCCGAGGCGACGCCGAGUGCGAAAUACCACUUCGUAAAUGCACCAGUGUCCCAAUGACAUUGCUCCUCCCCAGAGAGCCUGAGACGGAGGCUGCCUGCUUCUUCAUUCAUUCUCGAGAGUCGUCUCCCUCUGGGCACCUGUCAUUCCUUAUCGAUGGCAAUGGAUAUGGCAGACAAUGGGAACGGCCCGGGCUCAGACACUGCAGACAGCUGCUGGCUCCCGGGUCAGGCAAGGCUAGGCUGCCUCCUUCCUUAAAUCCCAGAUGAGUCCACCCAUGCUGGCUUUAACCAUUUGGAGACAUUUCAAAUCCGCAUGCAUUGUAUGUGUGUUGGCCCUGUGCUAUUUCCUGCUACGGCUCGGAGGAGGCACUGCUAAGAAGACGGAGGCUGCAGGCCUACACUCCUAGCUAGUCAUUCCCUUUCUUCUGCGCAGACACGCAUAGGACUGCAACUUCAGAGGCUCAGUCGUUCUUAGAAGGUGAGGCACCCAUGUUCUUUGCUGAAUUCAGGGCGGAGUGAAUCAAAACCAGGCUGGCAGACCCUCCAAGUGCCCUCAUUUUCCAGGGACAGUCCUGCAUUAUAAUAAUAAUAAUAAUAAUAAUAAUAAUAAUAAUAAUAAUAAUAAAUUUACUUAUACCAAUGUUCUUUGCUGAAUUCAGGGUGGAGUGAAUGAAAACCAGGCUGGCAGACCCUCCAAGUGUCCCCAUUUUCCAGGGACAGUCCUGCAUUCAAAUAAUAAUAAUAAUAAUAAUAAUAAUAAUAAUAAUAAUAAUAAAUUUACUUAUACCAAUGUUCUUUGCUGAAUUCAGGGCAGAGGGAAUCAAAACCAGGCUGGCAGACCCUCCAAGUGUCCCCAUUUUCCAGGGACAGUGCUGUAUUCAAAUAAUAAUAAUAAUAAUAAUAAUAAUAAUAAUAAUAAUGGUUUAUUAUUUAUACUCCACCCAUCUGGCUGAGUUUCCCCAGCCACUCUGGGCGGCUCCCAAUUGAGUGUUAAAAGCAACACAGCAUUAAAUAUUUAAAACUUCCCUAAACAGGGCUGCCUUCAGAUGUCUUUUACAAAUAGGAUAGCUGCUUAUUUCCUUGACAUCUGAUGGGAGGGCGUUCUACAGGGUGGGCGCCACUACCGAGAAGGCCCUCUGUCUGGUUCCCUGUAACCUCACUUCUCGCAAUGAGGGGACUGCCAGUAGGCCCUCGGCGCUGGAUCUCAGUGUCCGGGCUGAAUGAUGGGGGUGGAGACGCUCCUUCAGGUAUACAGAAGCCAUCCCAGCUUCUGAUUUGAUCCCGGAAUGUCCUGCUUUUCCUAGGAUGUCCCUAUUUUCAUUGGAGAAAUAUUGGAGGGUAUGGUGGGAUGUCCCUUUUUUCACCAAAGGAAAGUUGGAGGGUAUGAGAAAGUCAGUUCUGUUCCUGAGCACUACAACAGCGGUCUUCUCACUUGCAAUUCUCAGCAAAUGUUGUUGCUGUGUUGUGGAUGAAAUGAGUUACUACUACUACUACUACUACUACUACUACUAAUGGAAUCGGACAUCCCUAUUUUCAUUGGAGAAAUGUUGGAGGCUUCCCUUCUAUUAAGUCCUGGAAGGGAAGUGGUUGACUAGCAGAAUUUUUAUUAUUAUUAUUAUUAUUUUUAAAAAAAACCUUUAAACUUUAGCACAUUCUUUCAGGAAGUUCUCCUGCAAAAGCCCCGUCAAAAUAAAGAGAAGCUGAGCAAAGAAUUUUGCAGGCCCUUACUUGGCAGAAAAUAUUUUGCCCAGCCGAACUUGUCUUGGCCUAAUAACGUGGUAGGGGACGUGCGGCUGUAGCUAACCCAUAUUUUCUGUGUGGCUUCUAAAGAAAGCCAUAUUGUGCGAUGUCAUUAUUUUCAGGAAUGUCAUUAUCUUCAGAGGUGAUGACAUCACGCAGGAGUGGCACCAGCAGCUGGCAGUGGACAAGGAGGGAGGGAAAGAUGGUGACGGGGGGAGGGGGCACAGUGAGGGUAGAGUGGCAGCAAGAGCAAGAGAAAAGGGGUUUGCCCCACCCCCUUGCAGCUCUGGCCCCACCCACUUUUGCUCAGCCAAUGGCAUCCUCUCUGGACCGCCAUUUGCUCUGGUUUUGUCGCAUGUGGCCCAUUAGUUGGGAAACAGCAUCAGCUGCCACGUGGCUCCUUUCCCUUCAAUACAGCAGCGGGCAGCUUAGAUUUGCUUCGAAGAAAAGUGUUGAAUUUUAAUGUGUCAUUUAGACCCUGGUGAAUGAAUACCCUCCUAUUGCAAGCGGGGAAGGCUGUAGAAAGUGAUUGUUAUUGCUAUUGUUAUUCUCAUUUAUUUAUUUUGAAUCCCUCCCUUCACUUGUAAAUCUCAGGGCGGUUCGCAGCCUAAAAAUACAAGAUAAAAAACACAAAAUUCAAAAUGCGUAGAGAAUUCUUGAAGGAUCUCGAACAAAAACCGGUUUUCUCCUUUCUAAUAUGAUAGGGAUGCACACAUUCAUCUAUCUAUCUAUUUGUCUAUCUAUCAUCUAUCUAAAGUAAAGGUAAAGGGACCUCUGACCAUUAGGUCCAGUUGUGGCCAACUCUGGGGUUGUGGUGCUCAUCUCGCUUUAUUGGCCGAGGGAGCCGGCGUACAGCUUCCGGGUCAUGUGGCCAGCAUGACUAAGCCGCUUCUGGCGAACCAAUGCAGCACACAGAAACGCCGUUUACCUUCCCACCAGAGCGGUACCUAUUUAUCUACUUGCACUUUGACAUGCUUUCAAACUGCUAGGUUGGCAGGAGCAGGGACCGAGCAACAGGAGCUCACCCCAUUGUGGGGAUUCGAACCGCCGACCUUCUGAUCGGCAAGUCCUAGGCUCUGUGGUUUAACCCACAGUGCCACCUGCGUCCCUACUAUAUCUAUCUAUCUAUCUAUCUAUCUAUCUAUCUAUCUAUCUAUCAUCUAUCAUCAUCUAUCAAAUGACUACCGCAGAGGCUGUCUGAGUUUGAUGCAGAGAUGGCAGGGCAGGUUGGAUCCAGAUAUCCUUCCCAUAAAUGCUGGCACAUUCCUGGUGUCGCGUGGAAGGAUCACCCAGCGGGUAAUAGCCUUGUGCUGGCGCAACGCCAAAUUCUAAUGCCCAACGACUUCAAGCGACCAGCUGCUGACAUGAUGCGGAGCGAUAGAUGUCUGGGAAGGGCGGCACAGCUUUCCACCCCCUCCCCUUACUUCCUGCCCCCUUCAGCUAUUUUGUCCCAGUUUUUUUUCCCCUCCCCACCCCUCCUAGGCUCCCCAAGUACGCGAGGACAAAUCGGCAGCGACAAGAUCCAGGGUCUGGGUUGGGGGAGGAGGAGCUGUGGUGUGACUCAGAGGACAUGACAAACUGUGACUGUAGGGUUCUUUUUUGGAAGAGGGUCUAUUAGGGAUGAUCCAAGAGAGAGAUUUGUUUUUGAGAGCCUGUUUCUAAGCGGGGGAGGAAAAAAAGCAUUGUUUUUCAAAGAAUUCAAGCCUGUGGACUUGUACAAUAGAAUCAACAUAUGUCUUAUUCCAAUAAUCCAAAAACGCCCUCCGGACUUCAUAAUACAAUCCUUCUCUUUGCGGUAGGUCUUUCCUUAUACAAAUAGGGUAUAAAUCAGCUUAACCGGAUCUGCUUUUAACCAUUGGUGGCCCUGGAUGCUGUUACAGUUGAAGAAUGCGAAGAAGACAGAGCCGGCCCAUCCAGUAAACAGAUGGGACAUUUCCCUCGAUGUUGAAACUGCACCGGUUACUGCUGUUUGAUUGCUGGUUUCCACUUCAUUAUUAUUUUCAUUAUGAAUGUGUUGGUUUUCUGGUCAGUUUUACAAGAGGCACUUGCUGAAGAAUGGUGCCUAAGAUAUUGAGAUGGCUAACUAAAAGCAGACGGCAAGCAUUGUAAAGACUCGGCUGACGUUUCAAAGUACUGUAUGUGGGACUGGCGCUUGCACGAUGAAAGAAGAGCAGAUUUGCAAGACCUCUUUUGCAAACCGAAGCAAAACCUCAGCAUCUAGACCAGGGGUAGGGAACGUCUAGCCCAUGAGCCAAACUCAGCACAACAGGCCUUCCUGUUUGGCCUAGGAGGCUGUUUUCCCCAAGCCAAGUCCACCUGUCCACACAUGAUGUUAUAUGCAAUGUCAGGUAUUAAGGCAGUUGCAAAAAUCAGGACUGAACCCUCUGCAUAUCAGCUAAGGAAAUUAAAUCCGGCUUGAUCUGAGCAUGCCAACCAGUUCUCAGGGGAAGGGGAACUGGCUGGCUUCCCCGACCUCUGUAGAAAUCAGGAUUGAACCCUAGAUCUAUGAUUGACUCUAGCUCAGAGGAGAGCAGGACCUGGGCUGACUGUCACACUUCACCCUGGAAUCAACUCAGCAGAAUCAGAUGCCGGGGUUCCACACACCUGUGGACCUCAGUUUAUAAUAAAAACACCAGAAGCUGCCUUAGAUUAGAUUAUGUUGUCCAUCUAACUUGGUAUUAUAUUUUCUGACCGGAAGCAGAUAUCCAGGGUCUCAGGCAGAGGAAGAUCUUCCCUGUCAUUUGCUAUUUCUAAUCCCUUUUCAACUAGUGAUUCCAGAGAUCUAACAGAUCCUGGGAUAGCUCAGUCAGUAGAGCAUGAGAAUCUCAGAUCGUGGGUUCAAACCCCACACUGGGCAAAGAAAUUCCUGCAUUGCAAGGGGUUGGACUAGAUGACCCUCGUGGUCCCUUCCAACUCUACAUUUCUGUGAUUCUUCUGCACGCAGAACAGCUGCUCUGGUUCAGCUAUCGCCACCUCUCCUCUAAACAACAUACCAGGUCACCAUCAUACAGCUUAGUCAGUACUUUUCCGUGGGUUUGUAGCCAACUAAGUCCUAGUCGGAGUAAAAAGGUAAAGGUAAAGGACCCCUGACAGAACGACUCUGGUCCCUUCUUAACCUGAAACUGUUCUUAACCUGAGGUACCACUUUAGCUGAUGGGGCCUCCUGCUGCCGCUGCGCCGCCGCCACACAAUUUCUGUUCUCAUCCUGAAGCAAAGUUCUUAACCGGAGGUGCUAUUUCUGGGUUAGCAGAGUCUGAACCUGAAGCGUCUGUAACCUGAAGCGUCUGUAACCUGAGGUACCACUGUAAAGGUAUAGGUACCCCUGACUAUUAGGUCCAGUUGCAGAUGACUCUGGGGUUGUGGUGCUCAUCUCACUUUACUGUCCGAGUGAGCCGGCGUUUGUCCGCAGGCAGUUUUUCUGGGUCAUGUGGCCAACAUGACUAAGCCGCUUCUGGCAAACCAGAGCAGCACAGGGAAACGCCGUUUACCUUCCCGCUGUAGUGGUACCUAUUUAUCUACUUGCACUUUGACGUGCUUUCGAACUGCUAGGUUGGCAGGAGCAGGGACCAAGCAACAGGAGCUCACCCAGUCGCGGGGAUUCGAACCGCCGACCUUCUGAUCAGCAAGCCCAAGGGGCUCUGUGGUUUAGACCACUGCGGAAAUGAAUGAACCUAUGUUCACUAUGAGUAGGACUAAAGGUAAAGGGACCCCUGACCAUUAAGUCCAGUCGUGGCCGACUCUGGGGUUGCGGCGCUCAUCUUGCUUUAUUGGCCGAGGGAGCCAGCGUACAGCUUCCGGGUCAUGUGGCCAGCAUGACUAAGCCGCUUCUGGCAAACCAGAGCAGUGCAUGGAAACGCCGUUUACCUUCCUGCUACCUAUUUAUCUACUUGCACUUUGACGUGCUUUCGAACUGCUAGGUUGGCAGGAAUAGGACUAGGAGUAGGACUAGCCUUGGAUAUAACCUGGCAACUCCAGAGGCCAUUGCAGGCUGCAAUGUGCAUCGUGUGCAGUGACCCCCCCCCCUUAUGUGCUGUGCAGCUCAAAUGUCCUUCUUUGGGAUGCGUUUGGGGCACUAAGCUGCAUCGCGAGCUUGCAGUUUUGCUGGAGUUUUGCUGGAGCAGGAGGAAACGGGGUUGCCUAGCAACCACAAAGUGCUUACCUUCCUCCCCAGAACUAAAUGGCUACAGCAGUGCCGGAAGGAUGAGCUAUCUCCAGAGCCUGGGGCGGGAGGAGGGAGUUCAGCAUCACCCCGCACCCCCUUUAUGGGUAGCCAAAACCAAAAGGUUGGCCUCGUUGCCCCCACUGCUUUCCCAGGGGGUGCCUAGUUCUCCCCACCCCACCCCAUACAUCUGCUGGCCUCCUGCCAGCCGCCGCUCCCAACCACAAUCUCUUCCCUGCAGCUCUGCUUUGACAUUGCCCUCGCAGCAGCCUGACCUUCCCCAAGCCUGAACAUUCAUCCUUGCCGAGCACAGAGUCAGCAGCCAGGCCGGGGCAGAAGUCGCACGGCACGCUGACAGGCCUGCCCUCCGAGGCAGCCUGCGACGAGCGGAACGGGGAAAGGAUCUGCCAGCGGCUAGGCCAGAUGCGCUUGACCGCUUUCAGGAGUUGGGGCCCCCACAGGUGAGAUAGAUGCUCUAACCCAGGGCUCAGCAAACUUUUUCAGCAGGGGGCCGGUCCACUGUCCCUCAGACCUUAUGGGGUGCCGGACUAUAUUUUGAAGAAAAAAAUGAACGAAUUCCUAUGCCCCACAAAUAACCCAGAGAUGCAUUUUAAAUAAAUGCACACAUUCUACUCAUGUAAAAACAUGCUGAUUCCCAGACUGUCUGCAGGCCAGAUUUAGAAGGCGAUUGGGCCAGAUCUGACCCCUGGGUCUUAGUUUGCCUAGGUAAAGGGACCCCUGACCAUUAGGUCUAGUCAUGACCGACUCUGGGGUUGCGGCGCUCAUCUCGCUUUACUGGCCAAGGGAGCCGGCGUACAGCUUCCGGGUCAUGUGGCCAGCAUGACUAAGCCGCUUCUGGCGAACCAGAGCAGCACACGGAAACGCCGUUUACCUUCCCGCCAGAGCGGUACCUAUUUACCUACUUGCACUUUGACGUGCUUUCCUGCUAGGUUGGCAGGAGCAGGGACUGAGCAACAGGAGCUCACCCCGUCGCGGGGAUUCGAACCGCGACCUUCUGAUCAGCAAGCCCUAGGCUCUGUGGUUUAACCCACAGCGCCACCCGCGUCCCUAGUAGAGUUGUAGAUAGAUGUUAAUAAAGUUGUAGACAAUGAAGUUGUAGACGACAGGGUGCUGGCGUUUUGCACCUGUUUCCCCUUGGCAGUGUAAAUAAUCAAAAGGCCGCUGUUAGCCCCCGAUGGGGCCCUUUAACUGGGGCUUGCAGGUAAAACACUCCCAAGAUAGUUUUCCGGGCUUCAUCAGUGGUCCCCACCAUCCCUGGAUUAUUACACAAGCAAAGUGGAGCAAAGGGUGUGCAGGAACAGUCACCACCAUCACCCCAAGAUGCCUGGAAGGGAGCUCAUGCUCUAACCAUUGCAAAAGGGCCAGGCCCCACAUACGGAGACAAUGUGCCAAAGUCUUCUGUGCAGAUGACUCAAGCAAGCUAGCAAUGCAUUGGCUCUCUCUUUUUACCUUCACCCGCUUCGCAGUGAAAACAGCAUGCUGCUUCAUAAAGGCGCCUAAUCUCUUCAUUCUCUGUAAGGUUGCUGGGCCAUGAACAGUGUGCCUGCCACUCCACCAUGCUCCGUUGUCCUGGGCUACCUUUACGUGGCACAUUAAUCUUCCAGACCAGUGGUGGGGAGCCACUGGCCUAAUUUCACGCAGACCUUCAGGUGCUCUGGGCUUGCUCUUGCUUUCCGGACUGCCCUUCUGGGAAUCACUUGUUGUUCUGCUGUUUGCCUGCGGCUGGGGGGAGAGGUAGAGAAGGAGACAUGGCUGCACUAGAAUAAGGCUUAAUUUUUGGAAUGACGCAGGAGGGGAUCCAGUUCAGUUCACGUUUCAUGGCAAACAUCGUUCUGCCCGGACACUGAGGUCCAGCACCGAGGGCCUUCUGGCGGUUCCCUCGCUGCGGGAAGCCAAGUUACAGGGAACCAGGCAGAGGGCCUUCUCGGUAGUGGCACCCGCCCUGUGGAACACCCUCCCAUCAGAUGUCAAGGAAAUAAACAACUAUCUGACUUUUAGAAGACAUCUGACAUCCGGAAGAUUUUUUUUCCCUUACGUUUUUAUGUGUGUUGGAAGCUGCCCAGAGUGGUUGGGGCAACCCAGCCAGAUGGGUGGGGGUAAUAAUAAUAACAAUAACAGCAAUAAUAAUAAUAGUUGUCAUGUCCAAUCAUCAACAGGUGGCUGCAGUCCUGAGCUGCUUUGCAGUUUAACGAAACCCAAGUCUUAAUCCCGUCAUAGCAACCUUUGCUUUGUCCUCCGCAACCUUAUCUCUUAAACCCUGACAGGCCAGCCAGCCUCUCUCAGGGGCCAAGUCUGGCCCAGAGGUUGCCAGUUGCCGAUCACUGUGGCAAAUGAACAGCUUUUCAAUAUCAUCCUUUUCUGUCUCUUUUUUUCUGGAGGAGACGGGUGCUUCAGCCCUUGCCCUCGAGCUUUCCACUGUUCAUUAAAAGGUAAGCGAAAGACCGUUCCCUUCGGACCAGCCGCUGAACGGCUGAGAGGGAACAAAUUCCAGGCGGCUCUUGCCACCCCCAUCCGACAGCAGCAGCUGCCUGAUUAAACCUGGCUAAUUAUCGAUCAAUAUCAGACUACCUAUGAUUCCCCGGUUGCUAUGCCAGUUAAGCUUGUAUCUCCACUAGGUGCUGGUUUCUUACAGAAGGACCACAUAACACAGUCUUCCCAAUAUGAAGGGAUUGUGAAGAGAGCUUGGUUUUCUUCUAAAAAAAAAAUCUAAUAGGACUGUGACAAGUGAAAAUAAAACAUAUUUCCCUUAUUCCAGGGGUGGGGUGGGGGUUCUAUUUCAGCUCAAAGGUUGCAUUCCGUUGUAGGGGGGAGUUGGGGGGGUACGAAAGUGGUAGUUGGGCCAGAGGCAAAAAUGGACAGAUUAGUGGAUGUCUCUGAACUUGUGACCACUUAUAUACCAUAUUUUUCGCUCCAUAAGACGCACUUUUUUUUCUUCCUAAACAGUAAGGGGAAAUGCGUCUUAUGGAACGAAUGUGUGGUCCCUGGAGCCGAAUUGCCCAGGAGCGAAAAGCAGAUCAUGCUUUUUUUUUUUUUUUUUUUUGAAAGAGGGUGUGCUGGACCCGGGGGGGGGGUUACCGAGAGGCAUGGUCAGAGUCCGGUCCUGGCUCGAGGGUCUGGAGACUGUCCACCAAGGGUGAAGCGGGGUCCAAAGCAGGAAGCCAGGCGUGGUCAGGAACUCCGGAAGAACAGGUCUGGGUGCUGGCAGAAACAGGUUUCCAACGACGUUGCUCCUGCAACCUGGGACUGGGCUGACUGGCCUUUAUCUUCUCUGAGGCCAGGGGCGGUCCCGGCCCACAGGUGACUCGCCUCUCCUGGCCUUAAGGCAAGCACUCCUCCUGAGACAACCCAGUUCUGUCCGCCUCAAUGCCCUGAGCCUCUGCAGCUCAGGAGAGGCUGGAGGGUUACUGGACCCAGGGGGAGGCUCACCUUCCCCUGACAGGGCUGGGAGAGGCGCACCUGUAGGCAAUGGGUCCUCAAUCACCUCCGGAGCCAGAGUGGAUUCAUCUGGUGUCUGCUCCUGAGGAUCCGGCACAGGUGCAGGCGCUUCAGAUUCAAGGCCCUGCCCCGGCUCAGCCGGCCCUGGAGGCGGGGACUCCUGUCCAGGCUGGGAUUCCUCUGGUUCAGCCUCUGAAUCGGAUUCCCAGGCCAUCACAGAGGGAAGUGGGUGUUGAAACAAAGCAGCUGAUUAUUUGCCAAUCAGGGAGAGAGAUAAGGGACGCUAGAGAUAAAGGAGGCUGCCUGGGAGGGGGGAGGUAAAGACAGCAAACCUGCAAAGGGGGGAAGCAGGAAGACUAAAGCAAUAAGGAGAGAAAUUAGAAGAAAAGGAGGAGCAAAAAACUGCUCCAGCUAAGGAAAAGACAUUAAAGCAAACAAGAGGGAAGGGAGUGUUGAAAGGAAACAGCUGAUCGGUGGGAUCGGAAGAGAGAUAAGGGACACUAGCGGAGGGGGGAGGUAAAAGCCCAUGGAUCCUCAGGAUUUUUACAUUGGGUCACCCCAAAUUCACCAUCAGAUCACAUAGCAUGUCCAUGGCUACAGCCUGCACCCAAAAAAUCACGCACCCACUGUUGCGUGGGGCCGCAAUGGCACAAAAACAUUGUUACAAAGCACGGAUCCACAUGGAUGCUCAGGAUUUUUGCAUUGGGUCACCCCAAAUUCACCAUCAGAUCACAUGUCUGUGGCCACAGCAUGAACCACAAAAAUCAUACAUCCACUGUUUCGUUCAGAAUAUUUUUUGUCUUGUUUUCCUCCUCUAAAAACUUAUGGUCAGGUGCGUCUUACGGAGCGAAAAAUACGGUAUAUCUCUCUCUCCAUUCAGCAUACCAGCAAGCAAGAGGCAUUCGCAGAAUUCAGGCAGGCAAAAUCACUCGAGAAGCGGGUAGACAGGGGCUGGGGUGAGGUUUGGCAUGACAAUAAGUGGGGUACCAGGGAAAGAUGUGUGUCCUAGAGCCAGAAAGUGGGGGGCCACUUUUGGCUCCUGGACCGGUGUGGUGUGGGCAGACAGAUUCAAGACAAGCCCUACCUAAUUCGCAUUUUCUGAAAAAAUAUCAGAUCCAGGAGCUGUCCUGCGGAAUUUGCACUUCUUGAAUUUUGCAAUGGUACUCGGAGCAACGGGAGCUCACCCCGUCGCGGGGAUUCAAACUGCCAACCUUCUGAUCGGCAAGUCCUAGGCUCUGUGGUUUAACCCACAGUGCCACCCGCGUCCCAACAUACACAUACCCAGCUCCAAUUCCUAGUACCCUUAAGAACAUAAGAAGAAUCUGCUGUAUCAAGUCAAUGGCUCAAUCUAGCCCAGCAUCCUGUUCUGUGGCCAACCAGAUGCAAGCCACAGUUCCCAGGAUUAUUUGGGAGAGGUCAUGUGCUUUAGGUGCCUGGUGUGUGCACAGACUAACACAAAAAAAAUUAGUAAUAACUGAGCCAGGGGAUUCCCAAGGCAUGCAGAAGUACAAAACUCAAUGGCUUGGAGCAACCAGCUCAGACUUCUUAACACGCUGAGCUUCUCAGGUAGACUGUGGGAAUAGAGACUUGAUAACCUAGCCCCUCCCAAGAUGAGCUAAACCUGGCAGGACAGUUUACUCUAUGGCUUUAACCCCUUCAUGCAUUAAUCAGACUUAAGCAGAGCGUUUUUUUUCAGCCAGAACUUGCGUGCCAAGGCCCAGGGCCCUGCAGUUCCCUUAGAUCAGAGACACAAAGUUAAUGGGAUAAAAUAGGCCACAACUUUAUUGGUUACAGAUGUGAGUGGUUUGGCUUAGGCAUUGGGUGAAACCAGACUAUAUCCCGACUCUUGCCCAUCUACAGGGAGUCUCACUAAAGGGUAAACCACCAGUAGGGGGAGCCCUAUGACAUACGUCAAAUUACGGCACCCCGCAGGGUUUCCAUUGGGGUCGUGGCAUAGCCCUAGCCCACGUCCAGGCUUCGGGCAGGAUCCACACACCCCAGAUCCCUUUAACAGGAUACGCUUAUUGAAGAGGGGCAGGCGGAGGCUACAACCUCCCCUCCUUUAAACAAAGGCUUGCCCAAUGCCUAACCUUACAGAGUUGUGACGGUUGCUACAAGGUAGGCGAAAACCAAAUGGCACCCCAAGAUGAGCUAAACCUGGCAGGACAGUUUACUCUAUGACUUUAACCCCUUCAUCCAUUAAUCAGACUUAAGCAGAGCGGUUUUUUCAGCCGGAACUUGCCGGAACUCAAUUCCGGCACCUCUUAGGUUUGCUACAUUGCCAUUAUAAGAGAACAAGGGAGGCGAGUUCCAGAACCUUUUUCUAGGAAAAUAGCACUCAGCUUAAGCAUGUCGGUUAUAUAAAACUGUUUAUCGCACGCUAGCCUCCCAUGUAGGUAGGUAGAGAUUGUCUUUGAAAAGCUUCCAUCCUUAUAAAUACUGAAAUACUGAAAAUUGGAGGUGGGGGGGAGGGGUAGAGAGAUUUAUACUGUCAUUCUACACACACUUCCCUGUGAGUAAGCUUUCCUAGAAACCAGGUGACUUACUUCCAAGUAAACAUGUCUAGGAUCUGGCUGUUAAAAAUCUCCAUUUGAUGCCCCUGGCUGAAAGGGUUUUGGUAUAUGCCGUUCUAGGUUGCACAGGGACAUUUUCCCCCUCCAGCGUAUGAUAUUCAGGGCAGGAUACUGCUAAGUGUGUUCCUUUAAAUUUGAAUGUAUCCAUUAUGCCGCCUGUCACUCUGCAAAGCUAAUCUGUCCUUCUCUUCCUCUCUCCCUUUGACCCUCAGUGGCUUCAAACAUUAAAUUGGCUCUGCUUUAUUAUUUAUAUACACAUCCCUUUGGAAGAGUCGGGGAUCAGGGGGGAAAGUGGGGGAAGUGGGAGCCCGCGCCAAAUUGCGUCUCCAAUUUUGUGUCAUUUUCUCUUAUUAAAAGAAGCCCCUUGUGUUGUUCCGCAAAUUGGCCCUCUGCAAAAAAGAAAAUGAAUGGGGUUUUGUGUUUUAUUUAAUAUCCCGCGCGCACACACACCUGGAUACCAAUUCUUAGAGGAUAUCUGGGU